GGGUAAAGGUUUCUUCCUCAAAGACUCAAGCAACGAGAAAUUAUCCACAAAAUACAAACGGACAUGAUUGUGAUUGAGACUCCCUUCAUCGCGGAAACAUUCCAGGCAGAUACUGUAAGCGGCGCUCCCGGUUUCAAAGCACUUCAUGCAAGCGAAAUACUCAUUGGUUAUGAAGAUUUUGCACUGGCCGCAAAUUGGCCUUCCACUUUUCAGUAUAUAGUAGAGAGUCAACACUUCGUUAAAAUCUAAACCUCCGCUUCUAUCGAUGUCUAGUUGAUUGAAGAAGUCACGAGUACGCAUGUUCUCAUCGUGUGCUUUCUGCGACAUGAAAUCUGAAAACUCCCUGUAACUCACCCUACGGUUUCCAUCUUUAUCCAUUGAUUGGAAAAAUUGGUUGAAUAAACUUCUUUCUUGAUCGGUUCCAGAAUUAUAAUACGCUAAAGCAACCUUUCUCAACGCCUCCAUUGCUGUUUCUUUUUUUGCUUAAUUUGCCAGAGUUUGUGAGGAGUGAAGACCUUUUUAUAAUUGAUCACGUCUUAGGCAAAAUGAUUAAAACCUCCUCACCCGCCGACCCCCUUCAUUUUCAGUAAAUUAACCGCUUCUCUUUCAUAUUUCAAAACCUAUAAAAGACCCCCGUUAUUAACAGUUUCUCUUAACUUCGGACUUAUGAUUAAUUUUUUAAUGGAUAAUUAAUUGCUUAAAUUAAUAAAAAGUAAUCAUACAUCGGAUUUUAAGGGUAAAUUAGUAAAAUACAAAAAAGUUGAAAGUUGUUUUUUCUAAUUAUAAGAAAUUUUUGAUGAAUUUUAAAACAAGAGGAAAAAAUGAUUAACUUUAACAAACAACAGAGGGGGUGUAAUCAUUUUCCAUUUAUAUUUCUCUAACUUUCAUGUAUGCCUGGUUUUUUUCGACAAGGGAAGAUUCUCAACUACUCAUUGAAGCAACCUAGUGUAUGUGCAUGUCUGCAUGAUUAAAAUAAAUCUUCUUGACCCCAGAAUACUGUGAUUAAAUUCUUUUAAUUAAUUUUUGAAAAUACGCUAUUAGUCAUGUAUUUGGUAGCAAGUCUGCAUAGAAGAAUAUGAUAAACAUAUUGAUGUUUCCUUAAUUAAUAGUAAUUAAUCGCGGAUUAAGAAGUGAUGAAUUAUAUAUAUGACGACGAUAUAUUUGUGAUAUACAUAGAAGAUGCCCUGAAAGAAUUCAACUUUCAUUUUUCAAUCAAUCAAUUAAAUUAGCAUUUGGCUCUGUACACGCCAAAGGAAAAUGAUAGUCAAAUUUUAAAGGGAAAUUUACAACCGUCCACCUGUUUGUUUUAUCUUUUUUCAAAAAUACAAAAAUAUAUAUUUUUUUUCAACGCGCCACCUGAAGUUUACUUUUUGUUGCACUCGUCCACUUCUGUUUAAUUUCCGUUAGUGAAUUUAACGGAAUGACCUUUUUACCCCUCAAAAUUACAAUUUAACCCAAAAUAAAUAGAAAUUAGAGAUAAAUUGGAUGGAUUUAAUUUUUUUCAAAGGUGGAUGCUAGAAAUUGGAGGAAAAUAGUGUUUGUUUGUUACUAAAUUUAGAAAAUUUGUAUUUAUUUUUUUGGAGAAAAACUAGUGUUUAUUGCUUGCUAAAUUUAGAAAAUUUGUAUUUAUUUUUUUUUCUUUCAAAAAAAUAAAUACAAAUUUUCUAAAUUUAACAAGCAACAAAUACUAUUUUCCUCCAAUUUCUAGCAUCCACCUUUGAAAAAAAUAAAAUUCAUCCAAUUUAUCUCUAAUUUCUAUUUGUUUUUGGUUAAAUUGUAAUUUUGAAGAGUAAAAAGGUCAUUUCAUUAACAUUCCGUUAAACUCACUAAUGAAAAUUAGACGGAAGUGGAUGAAUGCAACAAAAAAUAAACUUCAAGUGGCGCGUUGAAAAAAAAAAGUGUUUGUAUAUUUUUGAAAAAGGCAAAACAAACAGGUGGACGAGUGUAAAUUUUCCAAUUUUAAAAGUUUCAAGAAACAAAGAGGAGAAAUUGGAGAGUCUUCACUUUUGUUGGUUUUAACGGGUUUUGUAACAUUAUAACAAAGAUUUUUUGUUAUAGGCUACGGUGCAUAUUAUACUUAUAUUAUAUAAGUUGUUCUCGCGACAAGGUAUCAACGAUUGUUUAAAAGAUUUUAAAAAAUUUAAAAUUAUGGAAAUGUUAAAGGUAAAUGUUCUUGUAAAUUGUAAUACCUAUAGUUUGAUUUAAUUACAUAAUUAAUAUCUUUAUUUUUAAAAAAUAUUACUCAAAAUAUUUGUGUUUUUACUUUCAUACAUGUAUGUUUUAAUUUUUCCAGAGUAAACUAGUAGUUUUGUCUUAUAUAACUUUUAAAAAAAAUUCUAACAUAUAAUAGGUGAAAAAUUAUCCGACUAAAUUUUAAUGGAUCUCCAAAGACGUAAUCAAGCAGCUUUUAAAUAACUUUAUUUUGGUUGGCGACUCAAGUUGGAAUCUUAAGAAAAGUAAGGGGCUAAAAAUUCAAUUUGAGUUUUGUCCAAAAUGAAUUUUAAUGGAAACAAGUAUGUGACAUUGACAUUUGACAAGGACCAUUAGUCAGUCUUUAAAAAUAUAACGACUGACUCAAUGAUUAGUUCCGAUUAUAAGGGUGAAAAGAGAAUUUUUCAAUAUAUUAAAGAUGAACCUUAUGCGGUCCACGCGGGUUUGAACUAACAUACAAAGCAUUUCUUAGCGUUUCAAACUUGAACACUAAUUUUUUUUUUUUUUUUUUUACUAAAAAGUUCAAACGUUCAACAAAAGCUCAAACGUCAAAAGCUCAAACAUUUUUUAGCGUUUACCAUACGGAAGUUCAAACGUCAAGACCGAAAUUAAUAAAGCAUGUGGCAUGGAUGUGAGCCACCCAUAAACUAAUGUUUUAGAAUCCACAUUUUGCAGUUUUUGCCACAUUUUCCAAAUAAAAACAAUAUUUUAAAAGAAAAAAGGAAACUCUAUUGUUAAAGACUUAAAGUUCGUCUUUUAUUAACUACUCGGCUCAGCCCGAGUGGCCAGGGCUGCUGUCCUCCAACUUGGAGGGCAGCAGUUCGAACCCCCACAAAAGCAUUGUGGGGGUAUUUCCUUCCUCAAUUAAUUUGAGUGAAGGUAGUCUUCUCCCUUACCCAUAAGUGAGGAGUAGACAUCCCUCGAAUAUUUAUGAGGGUUAAAAUCUGGGCAGAGUUAUAAUCUCAUGUAUAUGAGUUGUAAUCUGAGCAAUAGUCUCAUAUGAUAAAAAAAAAAAAAGUUCAUCUUUUAUUAAUGAUUGCCGACAGAUGAUGCCUUGGAGCCUAAAGCUACAUACUCAACUGUUAUUGUUGGCACGCAAUAAUUCAUUGGCAAUAUUUGUAUUGAUUUAUUAUUAUAAUCUUCCCAAUCACCGGACCUUGGCACGUCGGCUACCUCUAUAUAUAUAUAUAUAUAUAUAUAUAUAUACAGCUGUAGUCCUGUGGACACAUUAAGGCUCCAAUUUCUAAUAAAAUCUAAACAUACUAAAAGAUACAUAGAUUUCAAAUAAUUAACAAACAUCCAGCAUAAAAGAUACGGAGUGUAUAGUGACGGUAGUCUAUACCUAUCUAUAUUAUUUCCAAUUUUAAAGUAAAUCUGAAUAGUGUUGCAUAUAUUGGCUUCAUUCAUUUUUGUCGUAUCAGUGAUACCCUACUGAGUACUUUUUUUUUUUUUUUGGGACAAGCUCUAGUGAGUACUUGGUUUAGGCGUUGAAGUUUCUUUUUGUUGGGUGAUCAGCGAGGAAGUUUCGCUAUUUUUAAUUUAUAAUUUUCUUGCUUGAGCACUUAAUCUCUCGGGUUUCCUACUUUACCACUUUCUCUCUCGGGGUCGGCGUUGGCUCAACUCCUGUCCGGUUCGUUUUGUCUUCCAAUGGCAUAUCGACACGCCCUAACUUUUUUUCAAGAAACGUGCAUCUAAAUUAUUAGUUUUAAAAAAAAAUUGAAUCAUGUCUUUUAACUAUUGAAUUUUCAAGUGGUAAAGUGCAACCUUUUUAGGAAUCAGUUUUGAAUUUGAUCUACUAAUAAAAUAAAAAAUUAUUUUAUUUGUUAACCUUAUGGGGCCACUAGAUUAGUGAGUUUCAAUAGGUGCACGAGUUAAUUAAGGGACAGUGACCACCCUUAAAACUAUAAAUAGAUGUGGAAGAGAUAAAAUCAAUGAUUUAACAUCCAUUCUCCUAUCACCAAUUGAUUUUUAAAGGUAUAUGACAACUUUUACUUUAAAACUCCGUAAUUAGACAUGUUGAAGCAUUUUGUGACUGGUGAGACCUUAUCAUUUUUUUUAUUGCAAUGUUCUACUGCUUCAUAGACGAUCAUUCAAUGAAAAUUAAACAUGUAAGCAUAUUAUGAGUUUAAUAUACAUGUUUAUGUGACAUUGUGAAAAUUGGUUGAUGAAACUAACAAAUGAUCUAAGACAGAUUACGCUUUGCUAUUUUAAGUGAGUCUAUACUUCAUAUACACUUUGCCAUUGAAUCAUGCAACAAUAAUUCACUUAAAAUGCAAUUUGUAAUUUGAAUGUAUUGUGUAAAAUGGGGCAUAAUAUCAUCCUAAAAUAAAUAUUUAUACACACACACACACAAAAGAAUCCCCAUGAAAGAAGUCAGGAACUGCGACAUAGAAUCCAUUCCUGUAGGGGUCUCCCGCCAUCUACAUUUGGAUCCCCAUGAAAGAAGUCAGGAACUGCGACAUAGAAUCCAGCUGCUGCAACCUUGUCUGCAAGCUUCCUUUGUUGUAGAAAGCAUCUGAUAUUAGCUCCCAGUCGAACACAGGGUAGCAAUAUGAUCGAGCAACCUGGCAGAUAAAUGAACACAUGCUUGUACAAUGUUUAUAAAUAGAUACCAAAUCACCGUACCAUUGACCCAGAGUUGUUUUCAUGGGUGUACAUAAUUUUAAAUUUUCAAUUAGAUACCCCCUGAAUAUGUUUACCAGUGAUUGAGGCAGGUUCCAAAAUGUACAAAUUUUUCUUAACCCGAAGAAGAGCAUGAAUAAUAAUAGCAAAGACAAAGACACGUAGAAUCAUAAAUUAAGAUAAGCUCACAAAACAAAUCAAUUAGCUGUGGAUGCAAGAGAAAGAAAUUAGAGCAAGUCAUACCUCAAGUUUGGAGCUUCAUAACCUGCAAGAUAAGGCGAAGACAAGUAAGAAUUAGAAGGCGAAGACAAGAAAGAAUUAGAAGCUUAUAGAGGCAGAAGAAUAAAGGUGAACAAAAUAGGUAGAGUCAAUACGAAAUGAAAUGGAGGACAAAGAGAACCGACAAACACCCUGAUUAACCAAUCAAAAGAUGCAUAAACACAAGCAACCCUGAUGAUAAAUUGAAGUGAGAGAAACAAAAUUAACUAGUGAAAACAAGAAAUGGAAAAAACAGUGAAACAUACACAGAAAACUAAAGCAAAAGACUAAAACAAAAGCAGCCCAGAUGUAAUUUGCCCAAAUAAACACAACCCGGAUCAUAAUUUGCAGUGAAAAUAUAAGAAGUGAAUGGACAUGAUACUGAGAUGGGUCAGGUACCGAAAACGUCGGAAAUGAGAAGAGCAGCAAGCUUGGAGUCAGGAGAGCCAGUGACGUAAGUGUUGAGUCCACCAAGUUUCUCAACAUGACCUGCUCCACUGUUUGGAUUCAGUGUUGGUGGAUUUGCACAGCACUGAGGACCUGACAUUUUUCUCCUGCUUAUGCUUAACCUUCCUUACACUAGUGUUCAGAAAACGCUCUCUUCUUCUAUCACAAACGUUUAUGAUUUUAUCCAACGGAGAGACUUACGUCUUGUAUAUCUAUUUAUAUAGAGUUUCAGCAUGUUCACUGCCGGGACUCUAUUUCCCUCCCAAUUGUUUAUACUUUCAAAAAGAAACAUGUGGGUUAUGGUUCGUGAGAGUUAUAAAUUAUUAUGCCGGAAGCCUGCGUCACGCCGUUGCAUUUUUCUAUUUAGCUUCCGACAUUUUUUAGUUAGAGUUAUGUAGCUUCCGACAUUUUUUUAUUUGAAGAGUAACAAUUUCUUAUUUUUCUUGGGCCACACGCCACUCCGUUUUAUGUAUAGGUUCGUUGAUUCGGAAGAACAAUGUUUGCUUGGUCCAUGCCACGAAUCUUUUGCAUCAAGUAAUGGAAUACUAACUAUCGAGCUGCCGGGUCAUUGGCAUGUCAUUGGUACUUCAUAUAUAAAAGUUCGGAAUAAUGUUUGGUCCAUGCCACUAUUCUCUGCAAAAAUUUUAAAUAAUAGAACGAUCAACAUUAUAACAUUUUUUAACUUUGACAGAAACCUGUUAAUUUCUUAAUUUGACCAAUUGGUUUUGCAAAUAAUUUUAUUUGACUAGCGUUCCAGAUCCUUAUACCCACUAAUUCUUGAGCCGUUAAUAAAUUAUGGAAUUUUAAAAGUUUAAAUAUUUAUUUAGUAUGACUUAUAUAACAGCCAUUAGUAUUUAUUUACUCUUAAUUUUUUUUCAAAAAGAUUUAUGAGUAUUUAUUUCUAUUUUCAGAAUAAAUAUUAUUAUGUUAAGAACUAAAUAAAUUAUUUUACAUCUACUAAUAAAAGUUUAAAGAGAUUUAAAAAUAAAAAUAAACAACUUAUAGCCUGUUUAAAAAGUACAGUUGUCUAAAAUAUCCAUUAUUUAUUUACACUUUUAUUUCAUUGUUUUCAUAUUAUAAUAUUUAAAAUUAUCUAUUAAUAUAAUUUUAUAAAUUUUAAUUAAUGAGUAAACAACUAUUUUUUUUUUUAACUGAAAACCUAAUAAAAAUCCUAAAUGAAUAAACUUUAUUUGAGAAGCUAUAUGCCUAAAUUCAUCAAAAUUAUUCACACUUAAAGCAAAAUUGAUUAGAGUUAAGCAGCACUACACUUUUAUUUCAUCUAAUAAAAAACUCUCUUAACUAGCGAAUCGAAUCGAAUUCACCCAUUUAUUUAACGAAUCAAUUUUUUCAAACCUAAACCCAUUUAAUUCUCAUCGAAUUGAAUCGAAUAAACGAUUCCUGACCCAUAUUGCCACCCCUACUUUUAACUAACAAAGGAAAAUUUUUUAAUACUAUCAUGGAUCGUUUGUAGAAAUACGUGGGUCUCUAUAACAAUAGACUGUAGUUUAAUAGUACAAGUAUGUACUAAAGAAAUUGUACAUAAAUACAUGCACAAUAAACUACAAGUAUGCACUGAUAAAGAUCACUAAGAUCCUAAAUAUCUUUCUCAAUCAACCCCAUUAUAAAUCAAAACCAAGGUAAUAUCAUGCAUAUAAAUAUGGCAACUAUUAUUGCCAUUGUGACAUGUACAGAUGCCAAGUAUCACGGCCAAUAUGGUAUCAAAAUAUAGAAGAAAUCCUCAAUUUAUAGUGAAUGAUUAUUUUCCUUUUAUGCAAUCUAUGUGCAUUCUCUUAUAAAUUGGGCAUUUGAGCUUUGAAUAAGAAUGAAAUUUCUAUUUUGUAUAUUGUUUCUAAAAAGUUUUCAUGCACAAAGUAAGGUCGUCGAUUGCUUCGUCAACUCAGGUGUACUUAUUUCGACUAUAAUAUAUAUUUGGUUCUGAUGGGAACUUGGGUUGUUGGUCCAUGCUAAUAUAUAUAUAUAGGGUAAUGCUAAGUUACAUGCAUGUACCUUACAUCCCUCUCACAUGAAUAGUGUAUGGAUACUAUUCAUGUGAGAGGGAUGUAAGGUACAUGCAUGUAACUUAGAGGGAUCCAUAUAUAUAUAUAUAUAUAUAUAUAUAUAUUUUGGGUCUGACCGAGGAGUUUCCAAGUAUUUCAACAACAAUGCGGCACGCACGCCAAUCACACAAACAAGUCCUUCUCUAGUACGGGGCCUCACUUUUUUCAUGCGGUUACGCUUUUAAACCACGAAGUUUAAUAGAGUGAAAGUGUAACGCUAUUAAACUGCACAACCUUAAAGCACAUUCAAAAGUAACUUUAUUAAAUUGCAAGACUUAACAGCAUGUCUGCAUGUGGGGAUAGUAGAAUAACCCAUAUUUGGAUGAACCUGGAAAAUCCAGGUCAGGUUCAACCCAUACCGUAGCAAAAUAUAUUUGGUAUUUGGAUGUCAUUUUAUGAACCCAUUCGAAUCCAAGACCGGGUCCAAUUUUAGGUAAAUCCGGAUAUCAAGAACCCAGACCCAGAUUAUUUUAUUUUAAUAUUUAAUUAAUUAUUUUUAAAUAUUAAUUAAUUAAUUAUUGUUAAUUAUUAUUUAUGAGUAUAAAAGCAAAAAUGAGAAAAACAAAACAAACCCUACAUCUCACAGCCGCCGUUUCUAGUCCUAUUCAUUGCCUAAAUUUCAACAAAUGAAUUCAACAUCAUCGUCGUCGCCCAAUUGAUCAUCACCCAUCAAUCAUUAGCAACACAACAUCACCGCCGUGGCCACACUUCUGUGCAAGUUUCAAGAAUGGACUUGAUACCAAGACAGAGAAGUCAAGGAAGCAAUUGAAGGAAACGGAGAACAUGGCUAAGAAGAUCAGUGGUGUAAAGAAGACCAAGGCCUUAGAUGCUGCCAAGAAGAAGUGAGCAAUUCAUUCUUUUGUGGUGUCGAAUCCAACUUUCGGUGAUGGAGUUCUAUGAUAGUCUUUGUUGGUAUAGUUUCUGAAAUGAAAUAUAUUGUGUUGUGGAUUUUGGUGUUAUUUGAUGUUUACGUAGUUAUAUUUCCAGAUUUUGAGUACUAAAAAAGAGAAAAAAUCGUUUAUAUUGAGAUUUUGGUUUUCGGAAUCAUUGGGUUUUAUUUCCAGUUUAUGCGAUUCCCCAUCUUCCUCAUCUAUUUCAAGAGAUCCGUGACUUUAUUCUAUCUCCUUCUGCAAUUGCCAAACAGCACAAAAGCCGAAUGCUUGAUUUGUUUUUUAAUUUUGGGCAUUUAGUACAUCUAUCCGCGUUUGGAACCCGGAAUCCAGAAAUUCGAAUUUUUUCGGGUUGAGCCCGUACCGGAUCAGGAGCCUAAAAAUGGGGUUUAUAUCCAGAUUCGGUAUGCUAAAUUAUCAUUUGAGUCCGGAACCGAAAAGCCUAAACUCGGAUUCGAAUUUUUCCAUCCCUAUCUGCAUGAAAAAAAGAGAAGGUGCCCGCACUUGAGAAUGAUAAUAUAUACACAGAUAUAUAUGUAUACAUACCUGUAUAUAGUCCUUUAUUAAUGUGAGCGCCCUCAUUUUUUUUCAUCUAUCACGUUAUUAAUCAUGCAAUUUAAUACAAUUAUUUUGAUUAACUAUUGAACUACAUGGCGUUUUAUAGUAUGUCCACCAAAUAGGGUGUCUGCAUCUUAUAUCAUUAAUAAUCAAAGAAAAAAAUUUAAUAUGGAAUCAUAUGAAGUGAUUAUUAAGACUGACUGUGAGAUUCAUUCUUCUAAAUUAUUGCUUGAUGCGUCACAUUAAGGGAUCUGUCCAUGACUAUGUAGAUGAGUCUGAAAACUUUGAUGAGACCGAAAAGUUUUAGCAUUGAAAUUAACUAUUGAAGCAAAUUGUCUUUUAUAAAUAUACAAAUCAGUUUAAUCUUAAAUUUUAUUGAAAUAUGAAAGUGAAUUCAUGCAGCCCUUGAUACCCAAAACGGAGUACCAAAAAUAAAAAUAGAGACAAAAGUUAAACUAAAAAACAGCCGCACGUACGUGAAGUCAUGGGUUCGUGGUCAUGGGUUCGAACCCCCACAUUGCAUUGUGGAGGUUUAAUUUUCUUCCUCAAUUUGAGUGAAGACAAUCUUUUUCCUUUCGAAAUGUGACUGGAGUAGACUUCCCUUGAAUAUUAGAGAGGAUAAAAAUCUGGGCGAACUUUAUAAAAAUUGAUGUAAACUAGUCCCAGUAAUAAUCUGAUUUGUAAAUAUCAAUUGUAAUUCAUAUAAUAUGAGUUGUACUUUUGAGCAAUAGUCUUGUGUAAUAAAAAAAACAUACCCGCACGCUAAAGCCAAAUUAACUUGAAAACAUACAUCAAGAAAUCUAAACAUUGCACACAGCUGAUAUAUUCUUCAUCUUCAGGAUAGCUAGGAUGUACGACUGCAGCCUCCUUCUGUGAAUAUAUUUGAAGUGUGCAAGCCUCUCAUAAUUAAACAAGCGGCAAUAAUGUUUGCAAUGGGAAGUGCAGCUUCGAAAACUCUAAGUGCGGCUUGCCAUGGAAACUAGAAAUCAAUAAAUAAUUUUAACAUGAAGAAAUUCACUAUCGGACUUUAGAUAGAUCAACAAGAAAUUCACUCCCACAAUAUAUAAAAAUCAACACGGCUCCUCAGUACUAUAUCCAAAUUUAUAAAAAUGCUAUGCACCAAAUUAAAUAAUCGAGUGAUUAUUCAAAAUUAAUUAAUCAAAGUUUGGUCAAACUCACCCUUCCUACCGCUGGGGUGUUUGAAUUAUAAGGAAUAACUGUAAGAUUUGAAGGACUUUCUGAAUGAUCGGGCCGACUCGUGGGGGUCCUGAUGCUUCUGAAUAUUAAAGGCCUUUCUGAAUGUUCGGGCUGACUCGUGGCAGUUCCUUGGGUCCUGAUGCUUCUGAAUAUUGAAGGACUUCCUGAAUGAUCGGGCUGACUCGUGGCAAUUCCUUGGGUCCUGAUGCUUCUGAAUAUUGAAGGACUUCCUGAAUGAUCGGGCUGACUCGUGGCAAUUCCUUGGGUGCUGAUGCUUCUGAAUAUUGACUGCAAUCAAUUGCAAAGACAAUACAAGUUAUAUAAAUAGGCAAUUGAUUUCAAAAAUUAAAAUCUUUAAUUAACCAAAGUUUGGUCAAACUCACCAUUCCCUCCGCAGGGAUAUUUGCAUUGUUACGAGCAAUUGCAACAUGUGAAGAACUUUCUGAACGACUGCGCUGAUUCAUGCUGAUGCUUCUGAACAUUGACAGCAAUCAAUUGCAGAGUCAAAACAAGUUUUAUAAAAUAGGCAAUUAAUUUCAAAAAUUAAAAUCUUCAAUUAGUAUAUAGGUGAAUGCUUUUUUAGUGCGUUAUAUUUUGAAUUAAGUGUCAACUCCCUUGUCUUGGGCUUAGAGGGCUUUGUUUUGCCUUCGGCUUCAACUACGUUUGCUUCGAAUAGAUGGCACCCAUUAUACGAGAUUAAAAAAAGACAUUCGAUUCUAUAUUUUAAAAAACACCAAAAGAUACUAAUACUAUUAAAUAUAUAAUAUUUUUCUCAUAUUUUUUUUUAUUUUUCUAAUAAUACUCUUGCAACAAUAUAAAAAUAUUAAUUAAGUUAUCUAUAAAAAAAAAGUUAUUUAGCAAAUUACCAAUAAUUAUUUGUCUAAAGAAAUUGAUAUUUUUCAUACACUUGCAAUAAUCUUUCUAAUAAAUAUUUAUAAAUAGAUAAAUUACAAACUUAAAGCUACAUCUAAUAUCUUGUUAUCUUGUUAAUAAUUGUAAAAAAAUUAUGUUACCUAAUUAAUCCUAAAAGAAAAAUAAUAAUAACAAAAUUAUUUUACUUGUAAUGUUAAUCUUUAUUUUAUUUUUAAUGUUAAUUUACUAAAUUAACAUUUUUUUUCUUUUCAUUAGCAUCACCAAGAAUAUUGUUGCAUGGAUGUUAUCAUAAAAACAAGGAAAAAAUAAGGGUACAAUAGUAAGGGUAUUUUAAGAUUUUUUUUAAAAUAUAGAAACAAAACAAAUAUUUACUCAUAAUAAUAUAAUAAUAAUAAAUACCUGAUGAUUGGGUAAAGGUUUCUUCCGCAAAGACUCAAGCAACGAAAAAUUAUCAACAAAAUGCGAACGGCCAUGAUUGUGAUCGUGACGCCCUUUAUCGCAGAAACAUUCCAGGCAGAUACUGUAGGCAGCUGUCUGGGGUUCAAAGCAGCUCAUGCAAGUGAAAUACUCAUUGGUUAUGAAGAUUUUGCACUGGCCGCAAAUUGGCCUUCCACUUUUCAGUAUAUAGUAGAGAGUCAACACUUCCUUAAAAUCUAAACCUCCACUUCUAUCGAUGUCUAGUUGAUUGAAGAAGUCACGAGUACGCAUGUUAUCAUCAUGUGCUUCCAGCGACAUGAAAUUUGAAAACUCCCUGUAACUCACCCUACGGUUUCCAUCUUGAUCCAUUGAUAGGAAAAAUAGGUUGAAUAAACGUCUUUCUUCAUCGGUUCCAGAAUUAUAAUACGCUAAAGCAACCUUGCUCAACGCCUCCAUUGCUGUUUCUUUUUUUUGCUUAAUUUGCCAGAGUUUGUGAGGAGUGAAGACCUUUUUAUAAUUGAUUACGUCUUAGGAAAAAUGAUUAAAACCUCCUCACCCGCCCCCCCGCCCCCUUCAUGUUUCAGUAAAUUAACCUCUUCUCUUUCAUAUUUAAAAACUUAUAAAAAAAAAAACCUCAGUUAUUAACAGUUUCUCUUAACUUCAGACUUAUGAUUAAUUUUUUAAUGGAUAAUUAAUUGCGGAAAUUAAUAAAAAGUAAUAAUACGUCGGAUUUUAAGGGUAAAUUAGUGAAAUACAAAAAGUUGAAAGUUAUUUUUUUCUAAUUAUAGGAAAAUUUUGAUGAAUUUUAAAACAAGAGGAAAAAAUGAUUAACUUUAACAAACAACAGGGGAGUGUAAUAAUUUUCCAUUUAUAUUUCCCUAACUUUCAUGUCUGCAUGAUUAAAAUAAAUCUUCUUGACCCCAGAAUACUGUAAUUAAAUUCUUUUAAUUAAUUUUUGAAAAUACGCUAAUAGUCAUGUAUUUGGUAGCGAGUCCGCAUAGAAGAUUAUGAUAAACAUAUUGCUGUUUCCUUAAUUAAUAGUAAUUAAUCGUGGAUUAAGAAGUGGUGAACUAUAUGAUGACGAUAUAUUUGUGACAUAAAUAGAAGAUGGCCCGAGAGAAUUCAACUUUCAUUUUUAAUCAAUCAAUUAAAUUAGCAUUUUUGGCAUUGUACACACCAAAGGGAAAUGAUAGUCAAAUUUUAAAGGUUUCAAGAAGCAAAGAGGAGAAACUGGAGAGUCUUCACAUUUGUUGGUGUUAACGGGUUUUGUAACAUUAUAACAAAGAUUUUUUGUUAUACGCUACGGUGCAUAUUAUACUUAUAGUAUAUAAGUUGUUAUCGCUACAAGGUAUCAAUGACUGUUUAAAAGAUUUUAAAAAAUGUAAAAUUAUGGAUAUGUUAAGUUAAAUGUUCUUGUAAUACCUGUAGUUUGAAUUAAUUACAUAGUUAAUAUCUUUAUUUUAAAAAAAUAUUACUCAAAAUAUUUGUGUUUUUACUUUCAUACAUGUAUGUUUUAAUUUAUCUAGGGUAAACUAAUAGUUUCUUCUUAUAUAAUUUAUAACUCUAAAAAAACAUUCUAAUAUAUAAUAAGUGAAAAAUUAUCCGACUAAAUUUUAAUGCGUCUCCAAAACCGUAAUCAAGCAUCUUUUAAAUAAUUUUAUUUUGGUUCGCGACUCAAGUUGGAAUCUUCAGAAAGGUAAGGGGUUAAAAAUUCAAUUUGAGUUUUGUUCAAAAUGAAUUUUAAUGGAAACAAGUGUAUGACAUUGGCAAGGACCGUUAGUCAGUCUUUAAAAAUAUAAAGACUGACUAAGUAAUUAAAGAUGAACAUUAUGGGGUCUACGCGGGUUUGAACUAACAUACAUGCAUUUUUUAGCGUUUCAAACUUGAACACUAAUUUUUUUUUUUACUAAAAGGUUCAAACGUUCAACAAAAGCUCAAACGUCAAGUGUAAACAUUUUUUGGCGUUUACCAUACAGAAGUUCAAACGUCAAGACCGAAAUUAAUAAAGUAUGCGGCAUGGAUGUGAGUCGCCCAAAAACUAAUGUUUUAGAAUCCACAUUUUCCAAAUAAAAACAAUAUUUUAAAAGAAAAAGGCAAACUCUAUUGUUAAAAGUUCGUCUUUUAUUAAUGAUUUGCCGACAGAUGAUGCCUUGGAGCCAAAAGCUAUAUACUCAACUGUUAUUGUUGGCACGCAAAAAUUCGUUGGCAAUAUUUGUAUUGAUUUAUUAUUAUAAUCUUCCCAUCACCGGCACUUGGCACGUCGGCUACCUAUAUAUAUAUACAUACAGCUGUAGUCCAGUGGACCCAUUAAGGCUCCAAUUUCUAAUAAAAUCUAAACAUACUAAUAUACAUAGAUUUCAAAUAAUUAACAAACAUCUAGCAUAAAAGAUACGGAGUGUGUAGUAACGGUAGUCUAUGCCUAACUAUAUUAUUUCCAAUUUUAAAGUAAAUCUGAAUAGUGUUGCAAAUAUUGGCUUCAUUAAUUUUUGUCGUAUCAGUGAUACUCUAGUGAGUACUUGGUUUAGGCAUUGAAGUUUCUUUUUGUUGGGUGACCAGCGAGGAAGUUUCGCUAUUUUAUUUUUUUUUAUUAAAAGGGGCUCAUCAAGACGAGCUAGGUAAGAAUAAGACGGUGUUGACAAACCCCAAAUAUAUUUUGUGAAAUAAUAGAAUAAAUACCCACAGGCGGGUUAGAGAAUAAAUGUAAAUCAUGCAGUACUAAGUGAGCCAUAUUGGCCAUGAAAUCUGCAGCUGAGUUCGCUUCACGGUAAAUAUGAGAGAUAGAAAUCUGCCAAUUCCUGCUUAAAAAAUCAUGAACUGCCACCACUAAAGCAUGGAAAACAUUAGGCACGACCACCUACUGAGAGAUCAUCUAAGUUACACAGAGACUAUCUACUUCCACCAAGAGGUGUCUGAUGUCAACAUUCCAGGCGAGGGGUAAUCCUUGAUACAGGCCCCAAAGUUCAGCCAUAAUCACUGAGCUUUCCCCAAUAUUCAUACUAAAACCUAAGAUCCAAUUGCCAAAAGAAUCACGAAUUACCCCACCCGCUCCAGCUUCUCCUGUAUUUUUACAGGAACCAUCUGUGUUCAACUAGUGGUUAUUGCUAUAGACAUGCAAAUAAUUAGUUAUAUGUGGAUGCAAAAAUAAUCUAUAUUGACAUUUUUAUAGUAUUUUUUGGAUUGUAAAUUCGAAUUGCCCACAAAUAAACUACUUCAGAAAGGAAAAAAAAGUUGUAGUUAGGUUCAUUUGCAUUUUAUUUUAUUAAAUUAUUAAUAAUAAUAAUAAUAAUACACCAAUUAAAAAAUAGUAUUAUUGAAUAAGUAAUAGUUGAAAAAUGUGUUUUAUAAAAUAUUAUAUCAAACAAAUUUUUACUGAUUUUCUUAUUUUUAGACAAAAAACCAAACACAUUUUUACUAUUUUUCAUUUUCAUAUACUAUUUGAAAAUAAAUUACCAAACGUAUUUUCAAUUUAAAAAAUAUGACAUCAAAAACAUUAUUUUCCUUCUCUAAAACAAACAUAAAAACACCAAUUAAAAAACAAUACCAAACGCACCCUAAAUUAUCAUUCCGGUCCGAAACUGGCAAGCCUAAAUUCAAAUCUGGAUUUUGCCAUUCUGCAUGAAAAAAAGGGCAAAUGAGUAUAUAUAUACACACACAUACAUACGUAUACAUACAUAUAUAUACAUAUAGUCCUUUACUAACGAGAGUGCCUUCAUUUUUUCCAUUAUUAAACCAUGUAAUUUAACAUAGUUAUUUUAAUUAACUAUUGAACUAUGUGGUUUAAUAGCAAAAUAGGGUGUCCACAUAUUAUAUCAUUAAUAAUCAAAGGAGAAAAUUUAAUAUGGAAUCAUAUGAAGUGAUUAUUAAGAUUGACAGUGACAUUCAUUCUUCUAAAUUAUUAUUUGACGCGUCACAUUAAGGGAUCUGUCCAUGACUAUGAAGAUGAGCCUGAAAACUUUGAUGAGACCGAAAAGUUUUAGCUUUGAAAUUUGUGGAGGAUGUUAGUGCUAACACAUAUAAGGGAUCGAAUGCCUUCGCACUCCAACUACACCUUAGUGUAUGCCGCCUCUUUAGCAACAGAAGUUGAAUGUCAACGUUGCGAAGAAUUUGAAAAGCGUUUGGAUAAGCUUACGAAGAAAUUCAUUGACAAUGCAACUACAAAAUUGCAUGAGAACAUGGCCAGAAAUGUCUCUAAAAAGGUAAUUGGACAUGUCAAUGACAACAUGAGAUUUCAAAUGUCGAUGACGAAGUAAUUAAAGACGUCUGAAAUUGAAAAGGAAGGGGUAAAAUCUAAUCUUGAUUUGAGCAUUGAUUUUAACAGUAUGGUUGUUACGGUUCUAUCAAUCUCUAUAUUGAAGCAAGAGAAUUGUUCUAGAAGAAGACCUUACGGUAAAUAUUAAGCUAGGUGACAACAAUGAGUAAGAUUUAGAGAAAGACUCAAGAGGCUUGCAAGUGAUUCUUGAGCCAAUACGGCCUUAUUGCAUUUUUUCAGUUUGUUAAACGACCCAAGAUUCUCUCCUUGGCCCAUCGCUUUAGAUAAUUCAGACGUUGAUUAUUGGCGAUAAUGUCCUUAAUAAAAUGCUUUUCAUCAAAUUUCAUCUUUUGAUCAAGAACAUACAAACAACGACAGUUUGACUUUGUUUAUUUAAUUAAUUUGGUCUCUAACUAGCUAUUCAUUCUCCUUUCUAUUUUUAUUUGAAUAAUUAAUUUAAUAUUACAACAUUUUUUUUUUUGUUUUAGAGCAUAGAAAUAAAAAGGCAACCGGAUGAAAAUGAUGGAAAUUAAUUAAUUACCAUAUAGGUUUGUUAUUAGUUGUAGGGGUAGAGCUCAGAGUAAAUAUCGAGGGAGCUAAAUUCAAGCAAGUAUUAAUAGGGGGUCGAUUUUAGAUGGUUUUUUCAUCUAUAGCUAUGGAGUAAUCCCUGAAAAUUUAGAAAUUUUUCUUGUAAUUGUAGUAAUUUUAAUUUAGGGAUUUUGAUUAAUAAUUGAGGCUAUUGUUACAAAUAAAGAAUAAAAUAAAAAAGUAAUUAACAAAAUAAAGAUCAAAGAGACAAGUCUUGACUUCAUCAAAAUUUUAAAAGGCUAUUUGCUAUUUUAUUAGGAUGAAAAAGAAAAUACCAAAAUAAAGAUCAAAUCCGUUAAAAAAUAAAUAAAUAAAUAGAUAAAUAUCAAACACUUACACAACUUUGGCACUAUUUCACAAAAUAUCAAGUUACAUUUUCAUCCUAUAUAUAAAGUUUACAAAUUAAUUGUGUAGGGGCCAAAUCAGUAUUUUUAUAUAUUUCCUUUAGAAAUUUCAAAAGUUUUUUAAAGCUUACAGGUACCUUGGCCACUUCUAGUCUUAAGCACCCUCCGCCGCUAAUCAGAUGGAAAUUAUAAAUUAAUUUUCUUCAGACACUUAUACCAUUUUGCAAUGCAAAUUAAUUACGGUAAACCUAAGUUUGAUUAAUUCCUGAGAGCUAGCUAGCUUCUGGUUAAUAUAUAUAUAUAAUAACUAAUAAUUAACUAUUGAAGCAAAUAGUCUUUUAUAAAUAUAUAAAUGUCUUUUAUAAAUAUACCAAUGAGUUUCAUCUUAAAUUUUAAUGAAAUAUGAAAGUGAAUUCACGCAGCCCUUCAUACCAAAAAUGGAGUACCAAAAAUAAAAAUAGAGACAAAAGUUAAACUAAAACACACAGCUUAUAUAUUCUUCAUCUUCAGAUAGCCAGGAUGGACUACUGCAGUCUCCUUCUGUGAAUAUAUUUGAAGUGCGCAAAACCUCACAUAAUAGAACAACCGGCAAUAAUACUUGCCAACUGAAGUCCAGCUUCCAAAAGUCCAAAUGCCGCUAGCCAUUGAUUCUAGAAAGCAAUAAAUAAUUUUAACAUGUAGAAAUUCAUUAUCAGACGAUAGAUAGAUCAACAAGAAAUUCACUCUCAGAAUAUAUAAAAAUCAACAUAGCUCCUCAGCACUAUAUCCAGAUUUAUAAAAAUGUUAUGCACCAAAUUAAAUAAUUGCGUGAUUAUUCAAAAUUAAUUAAUCAAAGUUUGGUCAAACUCACCCUUUCCACCGUUGGGGUAUUUGAAUUGUAAGGAACAACUGCAAGAUUUGAAGGACUUUCUGAAUUAUCGGGCUGAUUCAGGGCAAAUCUUUGGCUUAGGGAGAUUCCGGAACUUGGCUGCAAUCAAUUGCAGAGUCAAUACAAGUCAUAUAAAUAAGCAAUUAAUUUCAAAAAUCUUUAAUUAGUAUAUAGGCAAAUGUUCUUUUAGAGCAUUAAAUUUUGAAUUAAGUGUCAACCCCCUUUUCUUGGGCUUAGAGGGCUCUGUUUCGCCUUCGGCUUCAACUACUUUUGUUUCGAACAGAUAACACCCAUUAUACACGAAAUAAAAAAAAAAAAUCAUUUAAUCCUAUAUUUUAAAAAAUAUCACAACACAUUCGUACUAGUAAAUAUAUAACAUUUUUCUCAUAUUUUUCUUUACUUUUCCAAUAAUACUCAUGGAAAUCCAACUUCCAAAGGUAUUAAUGUCGCUUGCCAUGGACCCUAGCAACCAGUAAAUAAUUUUAACAUGAAGAAAUUCAUUAUCAUACUAUAGAUAGAUCAACAAGAAAUUCAGUCCCAUAAUAUAUAAAAAUCAACACAGCUCCUCGGCACUAUAUCCAAAUUUAUAAAAAUAUUAUGCACCAAAUUAAAUAAUCGCGUGAUUAUUCAAAAUUAAUUGAUCAAAAUUUGGUCAAACUCACCCUUCCCACCGUUGGGGUAUUUGAAUUGUAAGGAACAACUGCAAGAUUUGAAGGACUUUCUGAAUUAUCGGGCCGAUUCAGGGCAAAUCUUUGGCUUAGGGAGAUUCCGGAACUUGGCUGCAAUCAAUUGUAGAGUCAAUAAAAGUUAUAUAAAUAGGCAAUUAAUUUCAAAAAUCUUUAAUUAGUAUAUAGGCAAAUGCUCUUUUAGAGCAUUAAAUUUUAAAUUAAGUGUCAACCCCGUUGUCUUAGGCGUAGAGGGCCCUGUUUCGCCUUCGGCUUCAACUACUUUUGUUUCGAACAGGUAGCACCCAUUAUACACGGAAUAAAUAAAAAAAGUCAUUUAAUCCUAUAUUUUAAAAAAUAUCACAACACAUUCCUACUAGUAAAUAUAUAACAUUUUUCUCAUAUUUUUCUUUACUUUUCCAAUAAUACUCAUGGAAAUCCAACUUCCAAAGGUAUUAAUGUCGCUUGCCAUGGACCCUAGCAACCAAUAAAUAAUUUUAACAUGAAGAAAUUCACUAUCAUACUAUAGAUAGAUCAACAAGAAAUUCAGUCCCAUAAUAUAUAAAAAUCAACACAGCUCCUCGGCACUAUAUCCAAAUUUAUAAAAAUGUUAUGCACCAAAUAAAAUAAUCACGUGAUUAUUCAAAAUUAAUUAAUCAAAGUUUGGUCAAACUCACCCUUCCCACCGCUGGGGUAUUUGAAUUGUGAGGAACAACUGCAAGAUUUGAAGGACUUUCUGAAUUAUCGGGCCGAUUCAGGGCAAAUCUUUGGCUUAGGGAGAUUCCGGAACUUGGCUGCAAUCAAUUGUAGAGUCAAUAAAAGUUAUAUAAAUAGGCAAUUAAUUUCAAAAAUCUUUAAUUAGUAUAUAGGCAAAUGCUCUUUUAGAGCAUUAAAUUUUAAAUUAAGUGUCAACCCCGUUGUCUUAGGCGUAGAGGGCCCCGUUUCGCCUUCGGCUUCAACUACUUUUGUUUCGACCAGGUAGCACCCAUUAUACACGGAAUAAAUAAAAAAAGUCAUUUAAUCCUAUAUUUUAAAAAAUAUCACAACACAUUCCUACUAGUAAAUAUAUAACAUUUUUCUCAUAUUUUUCUUUACUUUUCCAAUAAUACUCAUGGAAAUCCAACUUCCAAAGGUAUUAAUGUCGCUUGCCAUGGACCCUAGCAACCAAUAAAUAAUUUUAACAUGAAGAAAUUCACUAUCAUACUAUAGAUAGAUCAACAAGAAAUUCAGUCCCAUAAUAUAUAAAAAUCAACACAGCUCCUCGGCACUAUAUCCAAAUUUAUAAAAAUAUUAUGCACCAAAUAAAAUAAUCACGUGAUUAUUCAAAAUUAAUUAAUCAAAGUUUGGUCAAACUCACCCUUCCCACCGCUGGGGUAUUUGAAUUGUGAGGAACAACUGCAAGAUUUGAAGGACUUUCUGAAUUAUCGGGCUGAUUCAGGGCAAAUCUUUGGCUUAGGGAGAUUCCGGAACUUGGCUGCAAUCAAUUGUAGAGUCAAUAAAAGUUAUAUAAAUAGGCAAUUAAUUUCAAAAAUCUUUAAUUAGUAUAUAGGCAAAUGCUCUUUUAGAGCAUUAAAUUUUAAAUUAAGUGUCAACCCCGUUGUCUUAGGCGUAGAGGGCCCCGUUUCGCCUUCGGCUUCAACUACUUUUGUUUCGAACAGGUAGCACCCAUUAUACACGGAAUAAAUAAAAAAAGUCAUUUAAUCCUAUAUUUUAAAAAAUAUCACAACACAUUCCUACUAGUAAAUAUAUAACAUUUUUCUCAUAUUUUUCUUUACUUUUCCAAUAAUACUCAUGGAAAUCCAACUUCCAAAGGUAUUAAUGUCGCUUGCCAUGGACCCUAGCAACCAAUAAAUAAUUUUAACAUGACGAAAUUCACUAUCAUACUAUAGAUAGAUCAACAAGAAAUUCAGUCCCAUAAUAUAUAAAAAUCAACACAGCUCCUCGGCACUAUAUCCAAAUUUAUAAAAAUGUUAUGCACCAAAUAAAAUAAUCACGUGAUUAUUCAAAAUUAAUUAAUCAAAGUUUGGUCAAACUCACCCUUCCCACCGCUGGGGUAUUUGAAUUGUGAGGAACAACUGCAAGAUUUGAAGGACUUUCUGAAUUAUCGGGCCGAUUCAGGGCAAAUCUUUGGCUUAGGGAGAUUCCGGAACUUGGCUGCAAUCAAUUGUAGAGUCAAUAAAAGUUAUAUAAAUAGGCAAUUAAUUUCAAAAAUCUUUAAUUAGUAUAUAGGCAAAUGCUCUUUUAGAGCAUUAAAUUUUAAAUUAAGUGUCAACCCCGUUGUCUUAGGCGUAGAGGGCCCCGUUUCGCCUUCGGCUUCAACUACUUUUGUUUCGAACAGGUAGCACCCAUUAUACACGGAAUAAAUAAAAAAAGUCAUUUAAUCCUAUAUUUUAAAAAAUAUCACAACACAUUCCUACUAGUAAAUAUAUAACAUUUUCUCAUAUUUUUCUUUACUUUUCCAAUAAUACUCAUGGAAAUCCAACUUCCAAAGGUAUUAAUGUCGCUUGCCAUGGACCCUAGCAACCAAUAAAUAAUUUUAACAUGAAGAAAUUCACUAUCAUACUAUAGAUAGAUCAACAAGAAAUUCAGUCCCAUAAUAUAUUAAAGUCAACACAGCUCCUCGGCACUAUAUCCAAAUUUAUAAAAAUGUUAUGCACCAAAUAAAAUAAUCACGUGAUUAUUCAAAAUUAAUUAAUCAAAGUUUGGUCAAACUCACCUUUCCCACCGCUGGGGUAUUUGAAUUGUGAGGAACAACUGCAAGAUUUGACGGACUUUCUGAAUUAUCGGGCCGAUUCAGGGCAAAUCUUUGGCUUAGGGAGAUUCCAGAACUUGGCUGCAAUCAAUUGCAGAGUCAAUACAAGUCAUAUAAAUAAGCAAUUAAUUUCAAAAAUCUUCAAUUAGUAUAUAGGUAAAUGUUCUUUUAGAGCAUUAAAUUUUGAAUUAAGUGUCAACCCCCUUUUCUUGGGCUUAGAGGGCUCCGUUUCGCCUUCGGCUUCAACUACUUUUGUUUCGAACAGAUAGCACCCAUUAUACACGAAAUAAAUAAAAAAAAUCAUUUAAUCCUAUAUUUUAAAAAAUAUCACAACACAUUCGUACUAGUAAAUAUAUAACAUUUUUCUCAUAUUUUUCUUUACUUUUCCAAUAAUACUCAUGGAAAUCCAACUUCCAAAGGUAUUAAUGUCGCUUGCCAUGGACCCUAGCAACCAAUGAAUAAUUUUAACAUGAAGAAAUCCAUUAUCAUACUAUAGAUAGAUCAACAAGAAAUUCAGCCCCAUAAUAUAUAAAAAUCAACACAGCUCCUCAGCACUAUAUCCAAAUUUAUAAAAAUAUUAUGCACCAAAUUAAAUAAUCGCGUGAUUAUUCAAAAUUAAUUGAUCAAAAUUUGGUCAAACUCACCCUUUCCACCGCUGGGGUAUUUGAAUUGUAAGGAACAACUGCAAGAUUUGAAGAACUUUCUGAAUUAUCGGGCCGACUCAGGGCAAAUCUUUGGCUUAGGGAGAUUCCGGAACUUGGCUGCAAUCAAUUGUAGAGUCAAUACAAGUUAUAUAAAUAGGCAAUUAAUUUCAAAAAUCUUUAAUUAGUAUAUAGGCAAAUGCUCUUUUAGAGCAUUAAAUUUUAAAUUAAGUGUCAACCCCGUUGUCUUAGGCUUAGAGGGCCCCGUUUCGCCUUCGGCUUCAACUACUUUUGUUUCGAACAGUUAGCACCCAUUAUACAUGGAAUAAAUAAAAAAAAGUCAUUUAAUCCUAUAUUUUAAAAAAUAUUACAACACAUUCCUACUAGUAAAUAUAUAACAUUUUCUCAUAUUUUUCUUUACUUUUCCAAUAAUACUCUUGCAACAAUCUAAAAAAAUUAAUUAAUUUAUCUAUAAAAAAAGUUAAUUAGCAAAUUACCAAUAAUUAUCUUUCUAAAGAAAUUGAUAUUUUUCAGACACUUGCAAUAAUCUCUAAUAAAUAUUUAUAAAUAAAUAAAUUACCAACUUAAAGCUACAUUUAAUAUCUUGUUAAUAAUUGUAAAAAAAAAAAUUAUGUUACCUAAUUAAUCCUAAAAGUAAAAUAAUAAAAAAAUUUAUUUUAUUUUUUAUGUUAAUUUUUAUUUUACUUUUAAUGUUAAUUUAAUAAAUUAACUUUUUUUUCUUUUCGUUAGCAUCACCAAGAAUAUUGUUGCAUGGAUAAUAUCAUUAAAAAUAAGGAAAAGAUAAGGGUAUAGUAGUAACAGUAUUUUAAGAUUUUUUUUCAAAUAUAAGAGUUAAAUAUACACCUAAUAUCAAAAUAUAGAGACAAAACUAAUAUUUACUCAUAAUAAUAUAAUAAUAAUAAAUACCUGAUGAUUGGGUAAAGGUUUCUUCCUCAAAGACUCAAGCAACGAAAAAUUAUCCACAAAAUGCGAACGGGCAUGAUUAUGAUCGUGACGCCCUUUAUCGCAGAAACAUUCCAGGCAGAUACUGUAAGCAGCUGUCUGGGGUUCAAAGCACCUCAUGCAAGUGAAAUACUCAUUGGUUAUGAAGAUUUUGCACUGGCCGCAAAUUGGCCUUCCACUUUUCAGUAUAUAGUAGAGAGUCAACACUUCCUUAAAAUCUAAACCACCGCUUCUAUCGAUGUCUAGUUGAUUGAAGAAGUCACGAGUACGCAUGUUCUCAUCGUGUGCUUUCAGCGACAUGAAAUGUGAAAAAACCCUGUAACUCACCCUACGGUUUCCAUCUUUAUCCAUUGAUUGGAAAAAUUGAUUGAAUAAACGUCUUUCUUCAUCCGUUCCAGACUCAUAAUACGCUAAAGCAACCUUUCUCAACGCCUCCAUUGCAGUUUCUUUUUUGGCUUAAUUUGCCAGAGUUUGUGGUGAAGACCUUCAUAUACUCUUUUCUCCAUAUGUUAUUAUGCUAAUUGAUUAGUCUUAGGGAAAAUGAUUGAAACCUCCUUACCCAUCGUCCCCCUUCAUGUUUCAGUAAAUUAACCUCUUCUCUUUCAUAUUUCAAAACCUAUAAAAGACCCCAGUUAUUAACAGCUUCUCUUAACUUCAGACUUAUGAUUAAUUUUUUAAUGGAUAAUUAAUUGCUGAAAUUAAUACAAAGUAAUCAUACGUCAGAUUUUAAGGUUAAAUUAGUAAAAUAAAAAAAGUUGAAAGUUAUUUUUUCUAAUUAUAAGAAAAUUUUGAUGAAUUUUAUAAUAGGAGGAAAAAAUUAUUAAUUUUAACAAACAAAACAACAGCGGGGAUCAUUUUCCAUUUAUAUUUCUCUAACUUUCAUAUAUGCCUGGUUUUUUCAACAAGGGAAUAUUCUCAACUACUUAUUGAAGCAAGUAGCAACCUAGUGUAUGUGCAUGUGCAUGUCUGCAUGAUUAAAACGGAUCUUCUUGACCCCAGAAUACUGUAAUUAAAUUCUUUUAGUUAAUUUUUGAAAAUACGCUAAUAGUCAUGUAUUUGGUAGCGAGUCUGCAUAGAAGAUUAUGAUAAACAUAUUGUUGUUUCCUUAAUUAAUAGUAAUUAAUCGCGAUUAAGAAGUGGUGAAUUAUAUAUAUGACGACGAUAUAUUUGUGACAUACAUAGAAGAUGCCCUGAGAGAAUUCAACUUUAAUUUUUUAAUCAGUCAAUUAAAUUAGCAUUUGGCACUGUCCACACCAAAGGGAAAUGAUAGUCAAAUUUUAAAAGUUUCAAGAAGCAAAGAGGAGAAUCUGGAGAGUUUUCACAUUUGUUGGUUUUAACGGGUUUUGUAAUAUUAUAACAAAUAUUUUUUGUUAUAGGCUACGGUGCAUAUUAUACUUAAAGUAUAUAAGUUGUUAUCUCUACAAGGUAUCAAUGACUGUUUAAAAGAUUUUUAAAAAUGUAAAAUUAUGGAUAUGUUAAAGUUAAAUGUUCUUGUAAUACCUGUAGUUUGAAUUAAUUACAUAGUUAAUAUCUUUAUUUUCAAAAAAUAUUACUCAAAAUAUUUGUGUUUUUACUUUCAUAUAAUAAGUGAAAAAUUAUCCUACUAAAUUUUAAUGGGUCUCAAAAGACGUAAUCCAGUAGCUUUUAAAUAACUUUAUUUUAGUUGGCGACUCAAGUUGGAAUCUUAAGAAAGGUAAGGGGCUAAAAAUUCAAUUUGAGUUUUGUCCAAAAUGAAUUUGAAUGGAAACAAGUAUAUGACAAGGACCAUUAGUCAGUCUUUAAAAAUAUAAAGACUGACUAAAUAAUUAGUUCUGAUUAUAAGGGUGAAAAGAGAAAUUUUCAACAUAUUAAAGAUGAACCUUAUGCGGUCUACGCGGGUUUGAACUAACAUACAAAGCAUUUUUUAGCGUUUCAAACUUGAAGACUAAUUUUUUUAACUAAAAAGUUCAAACGUUCAACAAAAGUUCAAACAUCUUUCAGCGUUUACCAUACAAAAGUUCAAACGUCAAGACCGAAAUUAAUAAAGUAUGUGGCAUGGAUGUGAGCCACCCAUAAACUAAUGUUUUAGAAUCCACAUUUUGCAGUUUUUGCCACAUUUUCCAAAUAAAAACAAUAUUUUAAAAGAAAAAAGGACCUGUCUAUGGACCGAUCUUCUAUUGUUUAGUUUCUCACUCCACAUCCAACGGCUGAUGCUGCAGUCUGUAGCUUACAGAAUCUGUAAGCUAGUCAAGUCCGAAAAAAGGAAACUCUAUUGCUAAAGUUCGUCUUUUAUUAAUGAUUGCCGACAGAUGAUGCCUUGGAGCCCAAAGCUACGUACUCAACUGUUAUUGUUGGCACGCAAAAAUUCGUUGGCAAUAUUUGUAUUGAUUUAUUAUUAUAAUCUUCCCAAUCACCGGCCCUUGGCACGUCGGCUACCUAUAUAUAUAUAUAUGCAGCUGUAGUCCUGUGGACACAUUAAGGCUCCAAUUUCUACAUAGAUUUCAAAUAAUUAACAAACAUCCAGCAUAAAAGAUACGGAGUGUGUAGUAACUGUAGUCUAUACCUAACUAUAUUAUUUCCAAUUUUAAAGUAAAUCUGAACAGUGUUGCAAAUAUUGGCUUCAUUCUUUUUUGUCGUAUCAGUGAUACUCUACUGAGUACUUUUUUUUUUUUUUUUUUGACAAGCUCUAGUGCGUACUUGGUUUAGGCAUUGAAGUUUCUUUUUGUUGGGUGAUCAGCGAGGAAGUUUCGCUAUUUAUAAUUUAUAAUUUUCUUGCUUGAGCACUUAAUCUCUCGGGUUUCCUACUUUACCAGGUCCACUUUCUCUCUCGGGUUCGGCGUUGGCUCAACUCUUGUCCGGUUCGUUUUGUCUUCCAAAGUUCCAAUGGCAUAUCGACACGCCUGCUGAUGGACGCAGUGACAAUUAACUGUUUAGCGUAAAUGAGGGGUUUUAUUUUACAAUUUUUAAAUUAACGAUUUAAAGAGUUAGGUUACUUCAUAGUAUUAAAUGUUUAACAUCAAUUAAUUAGUUAUUAAUAAAUGUUUAAAAACUUAUAAUCUAAUUUUACUAAUUUUUUUCAAGAAAAGUGCAUCUAAUUUUUUUUUUUAAAUUGAAUCAUGUCUUUUAACUAUUAAAUUUUCAAGUGGUAAAGUGCAACCUUUUUAGGAACCAAGUUUUGAAUUUGAUCUUCAAUGAAUGCAUGAGUUAAUAAUAAUAAAAUAAAAAAUUAUUUUAUUUGUUAAUCUUCUAGGGCCACCAGAUUAGCAAGUUUCAUUAAGUGCAUGAGUUAAUCAAGGGACAGUGACCACCCUUAAAACUAUGAAGAGCUGUUGAAGAGAUGAAGUCAAUGGUUUAACAUCCAUUCUCCUAUCACCAAUUGAUUUUUAAAGGCAUAUGACAACUUUUACUUUAAAACUCCAUAAUUAGACAUGUUGAAGCAUUUUCUGAUCGGUGAGACAUUAUCAUUUUUUUUUAUUGCAAUGUUCUACUGCUUCAUAGAUGAUCAUUCAAUGAAAAUUAGACAUGUAAGCAUAUUAUCAGUUUAAUAUACAUGGUUAUGUGACAUUGUGAAAAUUGGUUGAUGAAACUAACAAAUGAUCUAAGACAGAUUACGCUUUGCUCUUUUAAGUGAGUCUAUACUUCAUAUACACUUUGCCAUUGAAUCAUGCAACAAUAAUUCACUUAAAAUGCAAUUUGUAAUUUGAAUGUAUUGUGUAAAAUGGGGCAUAAUAUCAUCCUAAAAUAAAUAUGUAUACACACACACACAAAAGAAUCAAAUCAACAAAUUGAUGGUAAAAAGAUUUCUCAAUUUCUCAACAGCAAACCAAAGACAGUUCCUCUAUUUCCACCUUCGGAGCUCCUAUCAGCCUCUCUCUCAUAAGUAUUUUAGUUUUUAUUUUUAAUUUUAGUUCGUUAUUCCUCCACUAAUGGAGACUGUUAUUUAGGAUUGAUAAAUUAAGGGUUUGCCCAGGCUUUUUCAAGCCCAGAACUAAGACCAUUAGAGUAGUAGUGUAAGGAUUGGGUCUAGGCCAAGCCCACUGCAGAGCUAGGCUAGAGUUGGGCUGGGCUUGAGCUUUUAUUUAUUUUUUAAUUUUUUAAAAAUUAUUAUAAACUUGAAAUGAGUUCAUAAUAAUCAAGUUAUUAUAAUCAAUAAUGAAUUAAAAGAAAAUAAAUAUUUAAAAAUAAAUUAAUAAAUAAAGAAAAUUAAGCAAAUAAAAGUUUAGGGAUUUAAUUUUUAGUACUCGUUCUCUAAUUAAAGCACUCUCUUAAUUAAUUAACAUUUAAAAGAAAAUUUAAAAUUAUAAUUUUAAGUUUUUUAUUAAUUAUUAAUAUAUAAAUUAGGAAUUUAAACUUCUUUUUUAUUUUUUAUUAUUUUUUAAAUUUAAAUUUAUUAUUUUAAUUUGUAAUUUUUUUUUUAAAAAAAUAGAGGUCUUAAGGUUGGGUUGUGCUUUUUUUUUUUUUUUUUUUUCUAAACUUUUAUCUAAACCCUCAUGUGAGAGGACCGAGCCAAAGACGGCCCAAAUUUUUUACCAUCUCUACUGCUCUUCCUCUUAACGCCAAACAUCUGAAUUUUUGUGUUAUAUUGUGUUGUUCUUCUAUAUUUGAUGAGGCUAUAAGGCUCAAAUCUAGAAAGUUACGCGUUACAUAUCGUUGUUAGACGAGCGUUUAUAGCAUCAUUUUGAAAGAUGGAGCCACUUAAAGGUGAACUCAUGCUCUCACUCACUUUGGUGACUCUCAUAAAAUUACUCUUCCAUUUAAAAUUGAAAAGAGAUAAUCUUUUGUUCUAUUAGUGCGGUUUGAGCAUAAGUUGCUUUCAAUGUGCGCGAUGGAAAAAAUUUAUAACUGUGCUAAUGUUUCGAAGAACAGACCCAUUGGUAACGUCGACCACGCAUUCACAACUUGGGAAGGAAAGUCAGUCAGGGGCGGUAGUCAAGCGGCUGACUGCUUGUUCCUCGAGCAGCAAGUCGAACAAACUUUGACACACAAUUUUUUUUUUGUUUUCAGAAAAAAAAAAUAAUAUGCUAUUUGUUUUAAGGGGUUACUCUAUGCAAAUAUAAGGGAAAAAAUUAAUAAGAAAAUAAUGAUUUAAAAACCUAUCAAAAGCUCUCAUUAAAUUGACAAAAAUAACGCAUUAUGCCACAUGUACGGUGGAAAAGAUUUUUAAGACCAAGAUUAGUCCACCGCACAGACAAGUCAUCAGAGCGACUCUUAAAAUAAAUUAAAAUAAGCGUGAAAUAGCUCGUUCUUAUCCACUCCCCUCGAAUCACAUGAUUACGAUUUUCAGACCCACAGGAGUAUUAUUACGCGCCAUCGCUCUAUGAAUAGACUCAACGAACGCAAAGCCCAUUCACUGUGACAGACUCGCAGGAGAGAGAUAUAAUCAAUCAUCAAGGUUCCAAGAAUGAAGAAGCUUGCGAAGAGCCACAGCCACGGUGAAAGAAACAAAUCAACAACAGAUCAGCGGAGUGACAAGAAAUCAGCAACUGGCAUGAACGGAUCACCAAAAAAGAAAGGACACGGGGGCAAGUACACGUGGUCAGGCGACGGUUACUCGCAGGCUGAGAUCGGCUUCGACGAAGCCAUCGAUGCUAAUGAUCCUAACUUUGAAGAUCCUGAAGAUCAGAAGGAGACCGUCGCCGUUUGAUUUUGUUUUUGAUUCUGAUGAUUUACUAGCUUAUGAUCGUCGCUGUUUAAUGUUUUAUUUAAUUUUUGCUCUUUCAAAAAGAUGAGAUGAGAUUUAGAUGUACAUACCUUGUGAUUUCGUCUUUCAAUAAAAUCCAUACGUCUUUCUACUGCAAUUAAUCGGCUAAUGUCAGAUUUUUUCCAUUAAAAAACUGAAAACAUCCAUGAACUGAUUGACGUCAGAUUAAUUCAAUAAUCGGCUAAUGUCAGAUUUAUAUUCAACUUUUCUCUAAUUGUAGAUAUACAAUUGCGUUACAUUAUGUUGAUAUAUGAGGGACUAUGAUAAUGAAACUAUAAUAAACAAUAGGUGAAUAAGGCAAAUCAUGUUAUCUUACCACCCCAGCAGAAGCCCACAGCCCCAGUUGCAGUUAUACCUUUGCAUAACUGAAACAUUAACAUUAAAUAAUGGCUCUUCAAAUCCCUUGUCCUAUUAGAAAAGUAAAUGGCUCAGCACUGAAACAUUAACAUGGCCCUCUAUAACAGCAUUAAAUAAUGAAAUACAUUUUGUCAUGUAUCAGAAGUCUGGACCCAACCACUCCUUGAUCUUUUAUCCAUUCCUGUAGGGGUCUCCCGCCAUCUACAUUUGGAUCCCCAUGAAAGAAGUCAGGAACUGCGACAUAGAAUCCAGCUGCUGCAACCUUGUCUGCAAGCUUCCUUUGUUGUAGAAAGCAUCUGAUAUUAGCUCCCAGUCGAACACAGGGUAGCAAUAUGAUCGAGCAAACUGGCAGAUAAAUGAACACAUGCUUGUACAAUGUUUAUAAAUAGAUACCAAAUCACCGUACCAUUGACCCAGAGUUGUUUUCAUGGGUGUACAUAAUUUUAAAUUUUCAAUUAGAUACCCCCUGAAUAUGUUUACCAGUGAUUGAGGCAGGUUCCAAAAUGUACAAAUUUUUCUUAACCCGAAGAAGAGCAUGAAUAAUAAUAGCAAAGACAAAGACACGUAGAAUCAUAAAUUAAGAUAAGCUCACAAAACAAAUCAAUUAGCUGUGGAUGCAAGAGAAAGAAAUUAGAGCAAGUCAUACCUCAAGUUUGGAGCUUCAUAACCUGCAAGAUAAGGCGAAGACAAGUAAGAAUUAGAAGGCGAAGACAAGAAAGAAUUAGAAGCUUAUAGAGGCAGAAGAAUAAAGGUGAACAAAAUAGGUAGAGUCAAUACGAAAUGAAAUGGAGGACAAAGAGAACCGACAAACACCCUGAUUAACCAAUCAAAAGAUGCAUAAACACAAGCAACCCUGAUGAUAAAUUGAAGUGAGAGAAACAAAAUUAACUAGUGAAAACAAGAAAUGGAAAAAACAGUGAAACAUACACAGAAAACUAAAGCAAAAGACUAAAACAAAAGCAGCCCAGAUGUAAUUUGCCCAAAUAAACACAACCCGGAUCAUAAUUUGCAGUGAAAAUAUAAGAAGUGAAUGGACAUGAUACUGAGAUGGGUCAGGUACCGAAAACGUCGGAAAUGAGAAGAGCAGCAAGCUUGGAGUCAGGAGAGCCAGUGACGUAAGUGUUGAGUCCACCAAGUUUCUCAACAUGACCUGCUCCACUGUUUGGAUUCAGUGUUGGUGGAUUUGCACAGCACUGAGGACCUGACAUUUUUCUCCUGCUUAUGCUUAACCUUCCUUACACUAGUGUUCAGAAAACGCUCUCUUCUUCUAUCACAAACGUUUAUGAUUUUAUCCAACGGAGAGACUUACGUCUUGUAUAUCUAUUUAUAUAGAGUUUCAGCAUGUUCACUGCCGGGACUCUAUUUCCCUCCCAAUUGUUUAUACUUUCAAAAAGAAACAUGUGGGUUAUGGUUCGUGAGAGUUAUAAAUUAUUAUGCCGGAAGCCUGCGUCACGCCGUUGCAUUUUUCUAUUUAGCUUCCGACAUUUUUUAGUUAGAGUUAUGUAGCUUCCGACAUUUUUUUAUUUGAAGAGUAACAAUUUCUUAUUUUUCUUGGGCCACACGCCACUCCGUUUUAUGUAUAGGUUCGUUGAUUCGGAAGAACAAUGUUUGCUUGGUCCAUGCCACGAAUCUUUUGCAUCAAGUAAUGGAAUACUAACUAUCGAGCUGCCGGGUCAUUGGCAUGUCAUUGGUACUUCAUAUAUAAAAGUUCGGAAUAAUGUUUGGUCCAUGCCACUAUUCUCUGCAAAAAUUUUAAAUAAUAGAACGAUCAACAUUAUAACAUUUUUUAACUUUGACAGAAACCUGUUAAUUUCUUAAUUUGACCAAUUGGUUUUGCAAAUAAUUUUAUUUGACUAGCGUUCCAGAUCCUUAUACCCACUAAUUCUUGAGCCGUUAAUAAAUUAUGGAAUUUUAAAAGUUUAAAUAUUUAUUUAGUAUGACUUAUAUAACAGCCAUUAGUAUUUAUUUACUCUUAAUUUUUUUUUUCAAAAAGAUUUAUGAGUAUUUAUUUCUAUUUUCAGAAUAAAUAUUAUUAUGUUAAGAACUAAAUAAAUUAUUUUACAUCUACUAAUAAAAGUUUAAAGAGAUUUAAAAAUAAAAAUAAACAACUUAUAGCCUGUUUAAAAAGUACAGUUGUCUAAAAUAUCCAUUAUUUAUUUACACUUUUAUUUCAUUGUUUUCAUAUUAUAAUUUUUAAAAUUAUCUAUUAAUAUAAUUUUAUAAAUUUUAAGUAAUGAGUAAACAACUAUUUUUUUUUUUUAACUGAAAACCUAAUAAAAAUCCUAAAUGAAUAAACUUUAUUUGAGAAGCUAUAUGCCUAAAUUCAUCAAAAUUAUUCACACUUAAAGCAAAAUUGAUUAGAGUUAAGCAGCACUACAUAUUUUCGAGAAGUAUAUUAAGACAAGUUAAACAAAAUGAAUUUUCAAAUAAUAGAUUUUUUUUUUCAAAUGAAGAAGGGGCGCAAGCCCAGCGCCACAAAGAACCUUCAGCAAAAGCCUGACCACAUGCGGUGCCAAUUUUUCAUUCAUCAUAUCACGUAUAUUUUUAUUCAAUUUUAAUUGCAAGAACAUCAAACACGCUAAAUGUUGACAUACUUAUUCAAUCAUUCAUCAGCACAAUAAUCCAUUCCAUGCGGUUCCUCAGUUGACAUACUUGGCAAACCAUUCCAGCAUAUUUUGAUGAGCUUCCUCUGCACACUUCGCAGCAGAUUUGUCUUCUACAUUGUAUCUCACCGUCCAUCCGUGAGAAACUUUUGGAAAUAUUUUCACAUACCCAUCAACCUGGUAACAAGUAUCACAAGUAAAAUAGUCAUCGAAACUGCUUUUAACCAUAGAUCCAGAUUAACUUUGAAGCAGAAAUGAAACUUCAAUGCGAACCUGUUAAGUGUCGUUACGAAUGCACAGAACAGAGCAGGUCCAGAUAAAUUAAACUUUACUGAUAUAUUGCUUUUAUUGGAAUGGAAGAUGAGCUCUCGAAAUUGAUGGAAAAACAGAAAAAAUGGUCGCAUUGUACAUGUUAUUAAAAAGCACUGAAUUUAUGUCUAUACAUAUAUAUACCUCAGAUUUAGCAAUUAAGACCUUUGCAAAUUGCUUCAAGAGAGCUGGGGGAGAAAUCUGAUCAAACUCAGCUCCCAGUACUGCAGUGGGAACCUCAACCGCUGAAAGUAAUACCAACCAAUAUGGUUUGUUACACCAAAUAAAACAAUGAGUAGUCCAACAAAAGAUAAAAGAAACAAACUAAAACACUUUCCCAUCCGCACGCCAUAAUCAGAACUUUUAUAAAGAUUUGUAUGUAAACUAUGUGUACGCACUCAACAAUAAGCAUUUCUCGCCUAUGAACACACACUGAAAGGGGGAAAAUCUAUGAAUCCGUACCCUUGAUAUCAUCUACAGUUACGAAAGAGAGAUGUAACAGCACGGCAGCUUGGAUGAACUCGCGCUUCGCUAGUUGAACCGCUACUUUAGCUGAGAAUAAAAGUUAGUUAAUAGCGGCCAGUUCAAUGAUCAAUGGUGAAAAUCAAGGAUUUAUACCUUCAAAGUCUAUCUAGUUGAAAUAUGAGAGACUUGAUAAUGAAACCAUCAUGAAAAGAAUACAUGAGCAAGGGAAAACAUGUAUCUUACCACCCCAGCAGAAGCCUGCAGCACCAAUUGCAGUUCUACCUUGUUGGGUGCAAGCGGAAGUGCAGAGAAUUUUUUAUUUAAGAACAAAGUAUUUUGCUGGAAAUUACUGAAACUUUAUUGCUUAAUUCAUUUUUUCGUUUCUCUCUUACUUUUCAUACAACCAGAGUUCUAUAUUUAUAUGCAUUAUAGACAACUCUAGAGAUUACAUUAAUCAUGCUUUACAUUUCCAAAGCCACAUUGCAAGCAUCAAUUCUACCCUUUACUUCAAGUUGAAAAACAAACCAAAUAACCCUUCAAACUUCUUGCUCAAUUUACUAGAUUACUAAUUAUAUCUCAACACCCCCUCUUAAUUAGUAAUCUUCAAUUGCUUCUUGAAUUUUUCAAACUUCUCAAUGAUGAUUGCUUUGGUCAGAAAAUCUGCUGGCUGCUCAUUAGUGCUGAUAAACUCCAUAUUAACUUCUCCUUUGCUUACUAAGUCACGGAUGUAGUGAUAACGCAGCUCAAUGUGCUUAGAUUUAGCAUGAAAUACGGGGUUCUUUGUUAGAGCAAUGGCUGACAUGUUGUCACAAUAAAUUGUUGUUGCAGCAUCUUGAUUGAACUGCAAAUCCUUGAGAAUUCUUCUAAGCCAAACGGCUUCACAAGCUGAUUCAGUUGCUGCAAUGUACUCUGCCUCGGCUGAGGAUAAAGCUACUGACUUCUGCUUCCUUGAGCUCCAUGAAAUCACAUUUGUACCAAGACAAAAUAAAUAACCUGAUGUGCUUUUUCUGUCAUCAAGGGAACCAGCCCAGUCACUGUCUGUAAAACCAACAAGCUUGCAAUUGUCUUCUUUUUCAUACAUGAUCCCCUGUUUUUUUGUUCCUUGAAGAUACCUUAAGAUUCUCUUUGCUGCAAUAUAAUGGGACUUCCUUGGAUCAUUCAUAAAUCUAGAAAGAACACUAACUGAGUGCAAAAUGUCAGGUCUUGAGUUGGUUAGAUAAAUCAACGAACCAACCAAGCUUCUAUAGAUUCUUGCGUUAGCCUUUUCUUCUUUUUCAUCAUGUUUCAAUUUUUCAUUCAAACCCAUAGGAGUAGGUGCUGGUUUGCAUUUGAACAUGUGGAAUUUCUUCAACAAAUCUUCUACGUAUUUUUCUUGACAAAAGAAGAUUUUUCCUCUGGCUUGCUUCACUUGAAUGCCAAGAAAAUACUUCAUUAAGCCCAAGUCAGUCAUCUCAAAUUCACCUAGCAUGCUUUUUUUAAACUCUUGCACCAUUUUCAGAGUAGUGCCACAAUAAAUCAGAUCAUCAACAUAAAGGCAAACAAUAAGGAAAUCAGUACCUUCCUUUUUGACAUAAAGAUAAGGUUUACUUGAGCUUCUGUCAAAUCCAUUUUUAACGAAAUAUCUAUCAAUUCUGCUAUUCCAUGCUCGAGGGGCUUGCUUCAAGCCAUACAAGGGUUUUCGGAGUCGAUAAACUUUGUUUUCUUCACCUUUCACUUCAUAUCCUUUAGGCUGCUCAACAUAAACCUCUUCUUCAAUUUCACCAUUUAGAAAUGCCGAUUUUACAUCUAGCUGAAGCACAUUUAAUUCCAUUUAGGCUGCCAAGGCAAGAAUAGUUCGAAUAGUCUCCAUUCGAGCUACGGGAGCAAACGUUUCUGUAAAAUCAACUCCAGGCAGCUGAGAGUAUCCUUUAGCAACGAGUCGCGCCUUAUAUUUUUGAAUUGAACCAUCUUCAUUGUACUUGAUUUUGAAGAUCCAUUUCAGCCCAAUUGUUUCUUUUCCAUUUGGCAAAUUAACCAUCUCCCAAGUUUUAGUUUUCACAAUGGUGGCCAUUUCCUCGUUCAUUGCUUUGAUCCAAUCUUCAUUUCUUGAGGCCUCCUCAAAGUCUUGAGGCUCACAAGAAAAUAAAGCAAGUUCACAUGACUCAUAAAUUUCUCUCAUUGACUUUAUCUUCCUUGGAGGGCUUUCAUCAUCCGAAGAACUUUCUGCUGCUGAAUUUGGAGAAUUUGGUUCCAAAUUAUUUUGCUGGGAAGAAUUUGGUGGAGAAAUAGGAGCUUCAAAAAAGCUAGAUGCUUGAGAUUGAUCUUUUUCCCACUGCCAAGCUGAUGCCUCAUCAAAUACAAUAUCUCUUGAGAUAACAAGCUUAUUUGUUGUAGGAUUCAACAACCGAUACCCUUUAGACUCAUCACUAUAGCCAAUAAACAAAUAUUUUUCACUUUUUUCAUCAAACUUCUCCCUGUUUUGAGCUGGAAUAAGAGCAUAAGCAAUACUCCCAAAAAUCUUCAAGUGAUCAACAGUUGGCUUUCGGUUGUGCCAAGCUUCAAAUGGAGUUUUGUCUCUAACAGCUUUUGUAGGAGACCUGUUGAGAAUGUACACAGUUGUAUGACAUGCUUCUGCCCAUAAGUUGUUAGGAAUGCCUUUGCCUUUUAACAUGCUUCUUGCCAUUUCUACAAUGGUACAAUUCUUCCGUUCUGCGACUCCGUUUUGUUGUGGACUUCGGCUGACAGUAAGUUGUCUUUGAAUUCCAUUAUCCCUGCAAUAAUUCAUGAAUGGAGUGUAGAUAAAUUCACCACCACGAUAAGUUCUCAAGGGCUUCAUUUUGCAUCCACUUUGCCUUUCUGCAAGAGCUUUAAACUGAAGAAAAGUUGAGAAAGCUUCUGAUUUUUCAUUCAAAAAAUAAAUCCACAUCAUCCUUGUAUAGUCAUCAACAAAAAGAAUGAAAUAUCUCCUGUUAUUGAGAGAGAGAGUCCUUGUAGGACCACAAAUAUCAGCAUGCACCAACUCCAACGGAGCUUUGGCUCUCCAUGAAUUUUUAGGAAAUGGAAGUCUAUGCAUUUUUCCAUAGAUACAGCCCUCGCAAACUUUUUCAUAUCUUCCAACAUCAGGUAGGCCAAUCAGGCAAUCACCAUGUUCUUUUGCUUGAGCAAAUUCAGCCCUUUAUAGUUUAAAUGGCCAUAUCUGAGAUGCCAUAAAUUUGACAAAUCUGAAUUUUCAGUUUUGAGAGCAACAUUCUCAUCAAGUGGCAUAACAAGAGGAAAAACUUUGUUCUUUGACAUUUCAACAACGGCCACUGUGUGAUUAUUAAUUUUAUCAAUAAUUUUGCAUUUUUCAUCAUCAAAAUAAAUUGAAAAACCCUUUUGAAUUAGCUGCCCCACACUCAAGAGGUUUUGAGUUAAAUUUGAAACAUAAAAAACGUCAGAAAUGAGCUUUUUGUUACUGUUGUGCAAAUUUUAAUAUACUCGUAAGCGCACGAAUCUAUUGUAGUAUAGAUCAAUGGUGACGAGUGUCGAUCCCAUGAGGAGGUGGAUUUUAAUUGUGUAUAGAAUUAAUUUUGCAAAUGGUUGAUUGGAUCUGUGGUGGAAAUGAUUUGGAAUAUGCUAAAACUUAAAUUAAAAUGGCGAGAAUAAAUGCUGAAAUUGGAAUUGAAAUGGCAAGAAUAAAUUGAAGAGAAAUGUAUUGAAAUGAUGUACUUGGGUAUCUGGAUCCGUAUCAACAUGCAUCAUGGGCUAAAUAAUCCGUAUUAAUGCCAAUUAAAUCAUGAGGGGGGAAUCCACACCUCAUGAACCACGCUCUAAUCAAUAUGGUGCUAAGGGCUUAUCGUGCCAAAUAAUAAUAACCUUAUACUAGAGAGCCGGUGUAACCAAGGCGGUAUCUAGACAAGAUCAGUAUUAUUUGUCGACGAUAAGUCAAAUCAUCCACAAAAACUAGAGGGGAAAAGAAAAUAAAUUUACCAAAUAAAGCCCAUGACACAUGUUGAGACUUCACCUUCAACCCAAGCUUGAAAAGAAAUUAGUUACUCAUAAUUGAACUAGGGGCAAAAAGGGAAUUUAUUAAAAUACAAAGAAAAUACAAGAUGGAGAAGGAAUUACAGAAAAUGGAUCCCAAAAAUGGAUUCAGAGAUAUCAAAAAUGGCCAUCGGAUUAAAAACAGUUUGGACGCUCAGGAUUGCGCCACGUCAUCAGUCAACAGUCCACGGUUUGACCACGCGGAUGAACAGUAACACGGUUUGACCCGGAUGAACAGUAACACGGUUUGGUUGAAAAUAAUCCUGUGUGAUGCAUGCACCGUACGCGAGAUUUUUCGUCUACUGAUAUGCUGCCACGUCACCAUCAACAGUACAUAAGAAGUUUAGUCCAACAGGAUCGUGACACCUCAUCAGUCAAUGCCACAUCAUCGAUCAAUGCCACGUCAUCGAUCCGUCUAUGUGAACAGUGUCGUGAACAGUAACGUAGACAGUACCGUAUACGUGAAUAGUACCAUACAUGUGAAUAGUGCCAUUUUUCCUUUUAUGCUCCUCUUAAGGUUUUCGACCGUCCUAAGUUCAAAAGUGAUGUCCGUUUUGCCGUCUGAUCUCUCCUUUAUUGUGAAAUGACUAUAAUGCCCCUAAAAUACAUAAAAUACUUAAUUAAAAUAACACACACGUAAUUACAUCACAAGAAUGUUAAAUACAUUAAAGUAAGGGUUGUUAGUAAGACUUGAAAUGUAAAAUGACGGUUUUCUUCUUUAUAAAUAUGCAUUUUCUAACACUCAACAGUUACCUCCCUCAAAAUGACAUCAAAUACCCUACCCACAUUAUUUUCAUAUGCUCCCAGUCAAGUUCCAAUAUUUGAAGGGGUGCAUUAUGAAUAUUGGAGUAAUCAAAUGGAAACCUUUUUCCUCUCUCAAAAUUUAUAGGAUGUUGCUGAAGAUGGAUAUGCUGAACCACCAGAAUCUGCAAGUUCUUCAGAUUGGACUCCAGCACAUCAACAGCAGUACAAAGAAAACAUACAGAGAAAUGCCACGGCACUUCGAUAUAUCCAGCAAGGUGUUAGUAAGUCAAUUUUCCCCAGAAUAUUUGGUGUCAAAAAGGCCAAAAAUGCUUAGGAAAUCCUAAAACAAGAAUUUUAAGGUUCCGAAAAGGCAGUCACCAUCAAGUUACAGACUUUGUGGAAAGAGUUCGAUAAUUUAUCAAUGAAAGACAGUGAAGGAGUUCAGGAAUUUUGCAGUAGAGUUACAGAGAUUGUGAACCAGAUUAAAGGUUGCGGGGACUCCAUUGAAGAAAAGAAGGUCAAUGUAAAGGUGCUGAACGUGAAUCAUAUAAUUUAUGGUACUUGGAUAGCGGCUGCAGCAACCACAUGACUGGAGAACGUGACAUUUUCAUCAGCCUUGACCAAAGUUGUUGGGUGCAAGCGGAAGUGCAGAGAAUUUUUUAUUUUGAGAACAGAGUAUUUUGCUGGAAAUUACUGAAACUUUAUUGCUUAAUUCAUUUUUUCGUUUCUCUCUUACUUUUCAUACAACCAGAGUUCUAUAUUUAUAUGCAUUAUAGACAACUCUAGAGAUUACAUUAAUCAUGCUUUACAUUUCCAAAGCCACAUUGCAAACAUCAAUUCUACCCUUUACUUCAAGUUGAAAAACAAACCAAAUAACCCUUCAAACUUCUUGCUCAAUUUACUAGAUUACUAAUUAUAUCUCAACAUACCUUUGCUCUUAAUAGCCUGAAUAACUGGCUUUGCCUCUUCAAAUGCCUUAUCCUAAUGGCUAGCCUAGUCACUGAAAAGUUUAACACGAGGGACCAACCACAACAUAUAGAUUCAAUACAUCAUAUCAGAACAGUGUAUAUAACGAUGUAGUUCAGAAUUAGGACAUUAAUAACAAUAGACCGAUUGGGUAGCUAGAUCCAAUCCACUCACCAAUCAAGACAGCUCAAAUAUGAAAAUAUAUAACAGCCCUACGAGUAAUGAAAUCAAAACGGCCCCAUGCAACAAAAUUAAAUGGUCAAAUAAGUUUUGUAGAGUAUCACAAGUACAGAACCAACCGUUCCAUGAUCUUUAAUCCAAUCUUAUAGUGUUCUUGCAGCAUUAGGCACAUAAGGAUCUCCGUGAAGGAAGUCAGGAACUGCCACAUAGAAUCCAGCUGAAGCAAUCUUGUCCGCAAGCUUCCUUAAAUUUAAAGCAUCUGAUGUUAGCUCCCAAAGAAGCACAAGGUAACAGUAUAAUAGCAAAUAAGUAAAUAAUCACAUAUAUCUUAUAUAUGUAGAUUCCAAAUCACAACACUGCUAGCCCAAGUCAUUGUCAAAACCAUCAGUAAAUCCUCUAUUUGCAUAUUCAAAUAUGCUUCAUUGGAUUAAUAAUUUCAGAAUCAUUACACUGACUAGACAAAUAAAUUUUCUUUCACGAUUGAGUUAAGGUCCAAACCGCAUGAAUUUUUCUCAAUCCAUUAAAGGUGUUAGCACAAAAGGAAAUUAAUAGGAAAGACAACAAAAAAGAAAAAAAAACAGAAUCAUAUAUCAAACAGAAUUUUUAAAAACGCAUCAAUAAGUUGUUCUAGCAAGCCAUACCUCAAGUUUGGAGCUUCAUAUCCUGCAGGACGAGGCAAAAGAAAAGUAAAAAAAUAAAAAUCGCAGUAAACAGAAAAAAAAGUUGAACAACAUGGGUGUAUGAUCAAUAGGAAAUCAAACACGUAAUGUGCAAUCUACAUCUACUUAAGGUAUCAAUAAAAUUUUCAUAAAAAGACAAACACAAAAAAAAAAAGGAAAAAUAAAAAACACAACCCAGGUAGAUGAUAAAUUGAAGUGAAAAAAACAAUAUAAAGAGCUGAAGAUUACCCAUUAACCAUUUCAAUACCACAAAGCAAACCCACAUGAAAAACAAUCACAAAACUCAAGCAAAAUACUCAAACUAUUGAAAAGUCAUGCAUGUGGCAAUUUUUCAAAGAGCUACCAAACAUUUGAAGAAAAAAAGGAAAGUUGGCAAAUUUGUCAAAUUUGCAAAUGGACACCAUUGACAAUUUGCUUAGGUUAGGUGGAAUAGUAAAGGGUUGGUGCAAUAGUGACAUUAUUUUCCCUAUAAAUAUAUGGCACUUCUUCCAUUCUUUUGUAUCCCAAAAUUGUUAAGCUUAUGAGUUUCUAAGCUUUUGAGAGAAGCGAGAGAAGUGUGUCUGGGGAAUUUAUCUUUCCUGCAGAGUGUGAGAGUACUAGGUAUAUUUAGAUUUCUGGGAAGUGAGAUUCGUUACUCAAAUAUUGUACUCUAUUAAUUGUUAAAUAAACAAUUAUUCUUUCUUGCCUCCGUGGAUGUAGGUUUAAUUACCGAACCACGUAAUUCUUGUGUCAUUUAUUUUUCUAUAAUUAUUUGGUGUGCUUGAUUCUGCAUUCCGCUCACAACAAGUGGUAUCAGAGCCGACGGUUCGUACUUGGGGGGAUAUGGUACUGUUCACGUAUACGGUACUAUUCCCGUAUACGGUACUGUUCACAUACGAUACUAUUCACGAAUAUGGUGGAGACGACCAUUUGUACUUGGGAGACAGUCUAUUGUAAGUAGUGUGUAUUUUUGCAUGUCUAGGAAAGUUCUGUCAACAAAGGCGAUAAGAGUCUAGGGAUUCUGGUUUUUAAUUAGGACCGAGUUCCUGUCCAGUUACCUGGGAACUUUCCUGGUGCAUUUAUUCACGCGAAAUUAACAUCAUAGAGACUGUUUUUCAAGUGGAAAUAGUUCGUUGAAAAAAUGGUAGAAGGUGAAACUUCCAGAAUUGGGGAGAGAUCUACCGAAACUAUUUCAGGAGACACUUUAGGUGGGAGGCGAGAUUUGUCAAAUCGCUAUUCAGCACAUGUUAUAGGAGGGCAGAAAAUCAAUGUUGAAAAAUUUGAUGGGAAAAUCAACUUCGGCAUGUGGAGGCGUGAAGUUAUGGAUGCCCUUAUUCAAAUCGAUCUUGAUGUUGUUCUGAAAAAUAAAAUACACUUGUAUGAUGAAGAAAUUUGGGAUCGUAUGAAUGAAAACGCUUGUGGUCAGAUCAGAUCUUGUUUGACCAAGGAGGUGAAAUACUUGGUAAAGGAUAAUGAGUGUGCGAUGGCUUUGUGGCGUACAUUAGAGGAGAAGUACUUGCUAAAAAGUCCUGAAAAUUGCCUUCAUGCAAUGAGCCAAGUAUAUGGCUUUCGAAUGAAGCCUGUGGUGUCAAUGCACGAUCAUGUCUCAAGAUAUGAAAAGUUACUUGCUGAUUUGAAGAAUCUUGAUGAAGAUAUUAAGGAUGAAGUCAAGGCUAUGAUUCUGUUACACUCACUACUAGAGGAAUAUAGCCAUUUUGUGACUACCUUGAUAUAUGGAAAAAGCGUGAUCAUCUUCAAAUGUGUGUGCACAACAUUGACUAACUUGGAGAUUCGGAAUAAUAAUAAAAAUUCUGAACGAGCAUCGUCUGAAGCUUUGGUGAGCAGAGAUUGGGCGAUGGAGAAAAAGAAAAAGCGUGGUGGAAAGAAUUCUCAAUCCAAAUCGAGAAGCAGAAAUAUAGCUCGAGACGAGUGUGCCUUUUGUCAUGAAAAGGGCCAUUGGAGGAAAGAUUGUCCAAAGGCUUAAAAGAGAGAUGAGAAGAAACCAGCAGCAGCAAACAUGGCACAGAAAGAUGAAGACUCUGAUUAUUCACUAAGUAUUACUCCUGCAGCAUACGUGGCUAGUUCGAGCGAGUGGAUUCUUGAUACUGGAGCAACCUAUCAUUUGUGUCCUAUUAAGGAAUGGUUUACGGAUUUUCGUAAUCUGAAAUCCGGUGCAGUUGUGAUGAGGAAUGAUCAACCUUGUCGCACAAUGGGGAUAAGAACAAUUCGGCUCAAAAUCUUUGAUGGAAUGGUCAGAGAACUCAAAGAGGUUAGAUUUGUUCCAGCUUUAAAGAAAAAUCUAAAUUCUGUGGGUGCUUUGGAAGCUAAAGGCUACAAGGUUACCAUUGAAGAUGGUAUAAUGAAGUUUACACAUGGGGCUAUGGUGAUUCUGCAAGGGGUUUGGCGUCACAAUCUGUACUAUUUGAAGGGAGGUACAACUGAUGAAGCAAAUAUUGUUGAGGCGCACAGUGACACCACCAAGCUAUGGCAUGUACGACUGGGACAUGCUGGAGAGAAGUCUUUGCAAACUCUGAUGAGGCAUGGACUCUUAAAAUGUACCAAAACCUGUAAAUUAAAUUUCUGUGAGCAUUGUGUAGUAGGCAAGAAAACAAGGGUCAAGUUUAGUACAGCUAAUCACGAUACUCGUGAGAUCCUUGAAUAUGUUCAUAGUAAUGUAUGGGGACCAACCAAGACUGCAUCAAUUGGUGGAAGCCAUUAUUUUGUUACAUUUGUUGAUUAUUUCUCUAGACGUGUGUGGGUGUACACCAUGCGAGCAAAUGAUGAGGUUCUAGAGAUUUUCGUGAAAUGGAAGAAAUUGGUGGAGACUCAAACUGGUAGAAAGAUCAAAGUAUUACGAUCUGAUAAUGAGGGUGAAUAUACUUCUAAUCUAUUCUUGCAAGUAUGCAAGAAUGAGGGUAUUAAAAGAUAUUUCACGGUGAGACAUACUCCGCAACAGAACGGUGUGGCUGAGCGUAUGAAUCGUACUUUACUGGAGAAGGUACGGUGUAUGUUAUCUAAUGCUGGUUUAGAUAAAAAGUUUUGGGCUGAAGCUGUGAGUUACGCAAGUCACUUGGUAAACCGGUUGCCGUCUACUGCAAUUGGAGGUAAAACUCCUAUGGAAAUGUGGUCUGGAAAGCAUGCACAAGACUAUGAUUCCCUUCGUAUAUUCGGGUGUCCAGCUUAUUAUCAUGUCAAAGAUGGUAAACUGGAUCCUCGUGCUAGAAAAACUAUCUUUGUGGGAUUCAAAGGUGGAGUAAAGGGCUUCAAGCUUUGGGAUCUCGAAGAUAAAAAGUUUGUGUAUAGCAGAGAUGUCACAUUUGAUGAAGCUUCAAUGAUGAAAGCUUCAAGUUCUCAGCAGGUGGAGAACAAGACCAAAGAGGUAUUGCAGCGGGUGGAGUUUGAUGCAACUCCAUAUGUAUCAGUUAGUUCUACAUCAAAAAAUGGUUCAACUAUGGAGGUGACACCUAGAGUUGAAGAAUAUGUUGUUUCUUCUGAUGUCCCACAAAAUGAAGAAACAAUUGAUGAUGUAGAUAAUGAUGAUUUUAUAGCAACAAGGAGGCCAAGAAGAGAGAUAAAGAAACCCAGAUGGCUUACUAAAGAUAUGGUGGUAGCCUAUGCACUUCCAGUUAUUGAUGAUGACAUCUCCAACACUUUCGGUAAAGCAUUACGCAGCAGUGAAAGUGAUCAGUGGAAGUUAGCCAUGGAGGAAGAGAUGAAAUCUCUCAAUCAAAACCAAACUUGGGAACUUGUAAAGUUACCAAAGGGGAAAAGGGAUAUUGGCAAUAAAUGGGUCUACACCAAAAAGCAAGGAUCUCCGAAUCAAAUAACUCCUCGAUACAAGGCAAGGCUCGUGGCAAAAGGUUUUGCUCAAAAGGAAGGUAUUGACUACAAUGAAGUUUUCUCUCCAGUUGUAAAACAUACUUCCAUUCGUAUCCUACUUACCUUAGUUGCAGAAUAUGAGUUAGAGUUGGCUCAAUUGGAUGUUAAGACGGCGUUCUUACAUGGAGAUUUGGAGGAUGAAAUAUAUAUGAUUCAGCCUUGUGGUUUCAGAGUUGCUGGAAAGGAGAAUCAUGUGUGUAGGUUAAUUAAAUCUUUGUAUGGACUGAAGCAAUCGCCAAGGCAGUGGUACAAAAGAUUUGAUCAAUUUAUACAAGGGCAGAAAUUCACCAGAAGUGAACACGAUCAUUGUGUUUACUUUAGAAGACUACCAGAUGGAGCUUUCAUCUAUUUGUUACUCUAUGUCGAUGAUAUGCUUAUAGCUUCGAAGAAUAGAGAUGAGAUCGAAAGAUUAAAGAAGCAGCUGGCUUCUGAGUUCGAGAUGAAAGACUUGGGUGAUACACAGAGAAUACUUGAGAUGGAGAUUCGUAGAGACAAGAAGAAUGUGAGUGUAUGGUUGACUCAAAAGUUUUAUUUGAAGAAAGUGCUAGAAAGAUUCGGUAUGGAUGACAAAACUAAACCGGUAUGUACACCUCUAGCUCCUCAUUUCAAAUUAAGCUCUUCUUCAUGUCCUAGAUCUCAAGAGGAGCGCGAUUACAUGGCUCGUGUUCCAUAUGCUAGUGCUGUGGGUAGUCUUAUGUAUGUUAUGGUAUGCACAAGGCCCGAUAUAUCUCAAGCAGUGAGCAUGGUUAGUAGAUACAUGCACAAUCCGGGUAAAAAUCAAUUGCUUGCGGUAAAGUGGAUUCUCCGAUAUUUGUAUGGGACAGUUGAUGUUGGGUUAUUGUUCAAGAAGGAUUGUGGUCAACAAUGUGUUGGGUAUUGUGAUUCUGAUUUCGCUGGAGACCUUGACAAGCGAAGAUCAACAACGGGCUACAUAUUCACAUUGGGUGGAGGUCCGGUUAGCUGGAGGUCGAUUUUGCAAUCGACAAUUGCUCUGUCCACUACGGAAGCAGAGUAUAUGGUAGCAACUGAAGCUGUAAAAGAAGCUAUCUUGUUGAAAGGCUUGUUAGGUGAUUUGGGAGUAAUCCAGGAGAACAUUGCGGUCUUCUGUGAUAGUCAAAGUGCGAUAUUCCUUGCGAAGAAUCAAACAUAUCACGCUCGGACGAAGCACAUAGAUGUGAAAUAUCAUUAUGUGAGAGAGAUUAUCGAGAGCGGUGUUGUGUUGUUGAGAAAGAUCGAUACCAAAGAUAAUCCAUCAGAUAUGUUGACGAAGGUAAUUUCUGGAGUUAAGUUUCAACAUUGCUUAAAACUAAUUCAAAACCUUCGAUUGUGUUAAGAUAUGUCCUUCGGGAAUUUUGAACUACGGUUGACUUGAUCCCAAAUUUUGGGUACGUAGGCAGUCACAGAGCUGCAGCCCCUUUGAGGAUAAUGGUUCAAUGGUAGUCGGCUCAGAUUUGGACAAAUUUUCGCCGAGGUGGAGAAUUGUUGAAAAGUCAUGCAUGUGGCAAUUUUUCAAAGAGCUACCAAACAUUUGAAGAAAAAAUGGAAAGUUGGCAAAUUUGUCAAAUUUGCCAAAUGGACACCAUUGACAAUUUGCUUAGGUUAGGUGGAAUAGUAAAUGAUUGGUGCAAUAGUGACAUUAUUUUCCCUAUAAAUAUAUGGCACUUCUUCCAUUCUUUUGUAUCCCAAAAUUGUUAAGCUUAUGAGUUUCUAAGCUUUUGAGAGAAGCGAGAGAAGUGUGUCUGGGGAAUUUAUCUUUCCUGCAGAGUGUGAGAGUACUGGGUAUAUUUGGGUUUCUGGGAAGUGAGAUUCGUUACUCAAAUAUUGUACUCUAUUAAUUGUUAAAUAAACAAUUAUUCUUUCUUGCCUCCAUGGAUGUAGGUUUAAUUACCGAAUCACGUAAUUCUUGUGUCAUUUAUUUUUCUAUAAUUAUUUGGUGCGCUUGAUUCUGCAUUCCGCGCACAACACAAACAAGAGCAACCCAAACGAUAAUAUAUUGCUCGAACAGAAACAACCCAGAUUAUACUUUGAUGUAAAAAAAGAAAAAAACGAGGAGAUGUAAUGAGAUGGGUUAAGUACCGUAAAUGUCGGAGACAGGAAGAACAGCAAGUUUUGAGUGAGGAGAGCCAUUGACAUAGGUGUUAAGUCCACCAAGGUUCUCAACGUGGCCUACUCCAGUGGUUGGGUUCAAUGUUGGUGGAUUCGCACAACACUGAGGACCUGACAUCUCAUUUGUUCUGUUUAACCUUAAACUCCUGUCUGCAAAAUACCAUAUAUAUAUAUAUAUAUAUGUAUAUAUAUGUCUACUUGGGAUUCGCUAGAGGGACCUAGAAAUGUAUCGACUUCUAGUGAGUUAUCUCCAGAACAAUUACUAGAGGUAUUACGAAUAAUCUGGUGCAAUGAGUCAUCUGGUGCAAUAAAGUUCAGAAAAGUACUUCGCAUCUCAUAAAAAGUAAGAAAAGUACUUCGCAUCAUCUUAGUCCAUGUGGGGGCUUCAUUUCAUUUUUCACGUUUCACAUCAAAUGAAAAAAUGCAUAAUAAAUGUAGGUGACAAAUAGGAGGACUUGUGGAUGAGAAUCAUUAUAAGGCUCAUGGGCAUAUAUUACCCAGAAUAUUUGGACGGUAACAGUUCUGUUUGGUCCAUGCCAAGAAAACAGUCAAUUUAUGUAUUUAUUUACUUUUUUAAACGAUUCACAUGGAGUGAUGAUGGACACACGAGAACCUCUAAACUCCUAAGUUGCAAUAGAAAGUUAAAAAAGAAAAAAGGCACAAGGCUAUUCUUAAUCGCAAUUUAAUUGCUCGCCCACAAAGCACCAUCUAUAAGAGUUAUAACCCUAAUCAGGAUUCAGUUAUUUUGUCAGCCUUUUGUUUUAGUUCCAGAGAGAGUUCAUUAAUUUUCAAUUGUUUGUUCAAUCGAUGGGAAAACGAAGUAAUAAGAUGCCAGACCUUCCGGUGGAAAUUAUAGUGGAAAUCAUAAACUGAUCUGAAAUUAUUUGCGUAUCUGAUUACAGACACUAUAUAAAGAGGAUAAAUAUACAACUUACAAUAGAAGUUACAAGAACACAAGUUUAAAAGAAAAUAAACAGUGCAUUUUUAUCACAAAUGAUAUAACUAUAUAAUCUUAUCACAACAAUUAAACUUACAAUCUGCUUGUUGCGGAAACGUGGGUUGAGCAAUUACUAAUACUGCAACUUCUGGAGAAAUAUAAAUGUGGUGAUAAACAAAUGCAAAGAAAGUAGAACACAAUAAUUUACGUGGUUCGGCGUAAUGCCUACGUCCAUGGGCAAAAAACUGGAAGAUAAUUUUACUAACAAUGGAAUUUACAAAAGUGGGAAAAACUCACAAAACCCACAACCCCAAUACACCCAAAUGGAACCUCACUAGAACACUCAAGUGGAAGCUCUCUCAAAUUCUCUCAAAGAACUCACUUGCAAUUGCUCUCUACUUCUCUCAAAUUGGGAUGAUUUACAAAUGAGGAAUUGCCUUCUAUUUAUAAGGAAAAAUGGGGUGCACUAUUGUACCAACCCCAACAAAAUUGUCAACAUAAAUUAGGCACCUACCUUAUGAAUUUGUCUUCAAAUUUGCUUCUCCAAAGUUGAAUGCAUGCAUGGCAACAACUUGUCAAAUAUUUGUGCCACCAACCUCCAAUUUGUCAAGAAAAACCGUGUGAAAAUAAGCUUUGUGGGCUGACUUUUCAACACUGCUAACUCAAGCUAACUUAAAUUGCUUACUAGGCCCUGAACUUGUAUAGCUUUCUAGCAUCCCCUGAAGCCUAAACGUCUGCUUUGCAUAUUUAGCUUGGAGGUUAGAAAGUGUAAAUGACUAAAGGUUAACAGCUUACUAAAUAUAUCUACAGUACAGUUUGAUCCUCAGCGCAUAUAUAACGAAUCUCAAUAACUUUAUUCAAAAUUUUCUCGUACAAAGUAUAGGCCAAUUUCAAAGUGCUUUGUCCUGCCAUGAUUAACUAGAAUAGAAGCCAAAGUUGCUGCACCUGCAUUAUCACACCAAACAACUGGCAUAUGAAUUGGUUUCAUAUGCAAUUCUGAAGCAAAGAUGUCAACCAAAUUAACGCUGUUGUCACACUUGCUAAGGCUUGAUAUUCAGAUUCACAACUUGACAUAGCAACAACAAAUUACUUUUUAGAAGACCAUGAUACUAGGUUGUUGCCUAAGUACACAAAAUAACCAUCACCAGAAAGUUGAUCAUCAAGGUCACACGCCCAAUCAGCAUUCGUAUAGGCUAUAACUUCUAUUUGACUAUAGAAAAAAGUAAGCUUAUUAAGUAUACCUUUGAGAUAUCUGAAAAUCUGUUUGCAAGCCUACCAAUAAAACUUAUAAGGACACGAAAGAGAUUUACUAAGCUUAUUAACAACAUAUGCUAUCUCUGGUAUAGUCAAAAUUAUUAACACUUAAAAGCAAAAUUGAUUAAAGUAGCACUACAUAUAUUUUCAAGAAAUAUAUUAAAACAAGUUAAACAUAAUGAACUUUUAAAAAAUAGAAUAAAAUAUUGUUUCUUUUUUCAAAGAACCUUCAGCAAAACCCUGACCACAUACGGUGCCAAUUUUUCAUUCAUCAUAUCAUAUAUGUUUUAUUCAAUUUUAAUUACAUGAACAUCAGGCACACUAAAUGUUGACGUAGUUAUACAAUCAUUCAUCAGAUACAAUAACUAUCAACUAGAGUUCCAAGGUUCACACACAUGGAGCAGUACAAUAAUCCAUUCCAUGCGGUUCCUCACUUGACAUACUUGGCAAACCAUUCCAACAUAUUUUGAUGAGCUUCCUCUGCAAACUUCGCAGCAGAUUUGUCUUCUGCAUUGUAUCUCACCGUCCAUCCGUGAGAAACUUUUGGAAAUAUUUUCACAUACCCAUCAACCUGCUAACAAGUAUCACAAGUAAAAGAGUCAUCGAAAGUGCUUUUAACUAUAGGUCCAGAUAACUUGAGGCAGAAAUGAAACUUCAAUGUUAACCUGUUAAAUGUCGUUACGAAUACACAGAUCAGAACAGGUCCAGAUAAAUGAACUUUACGGAUAUAUUGCUUUAAUUAAAAAGCACUGAAUUUAUAUAUAUUUAUAUAUAUAUAUACAUAUGCAUACCUCAGAUUUCGCAGCUAAGACCUCUUCAAAUUGCUUCAAGAGAGCUGGGGGAGAAAUCUGAUCAAACUCAGCUCCCAGUACUGCAGUGGGAACCUCAACCGCUGAAAGUAAUACCAACCAAUAUGGUUUGUUACACCAAAUGCAACAAUAAAGACCAAUUGAAUAGUCCAACAAAAGAUAAAGAAACAAACUAAAAGACUUUCCCAUCUGCGUGCAAUGACCAGAACUAUUAUAAUUAAGGACUUACAUGUAAAUUAUUGGGUACACAUUCAUCUAUAAGCUAUUCCUUGCCUAAAAACACACGAUGACAGGCUGAAAAUCUAUGAAUCCAUACCCUUGAUAUCAUCUACAGUUACGAAAGAGGGAUGUAACAGCACAGCAGCCUGGAUGAACUCGUGCUUCGCUAGUUCAACUGCUACUUUAGUUGAGAGCUGAGAAUAAAAGUUAGUUGAUAGCGGUCAGUUCAAGACAUCACUGCUAUCUAUUAAGUAUAUGACAUCCCUACCCUUAAUUUUUCAUUCAUUUUAUAAUAAUACCUUACUUUUCUUUCCUUUUAACUAACAAAAGAAAAUUUUUGAAUACUAUCAUGGACCGUUUACAGAAAAACGUGGGUCUCUGUAACAAUAGACUGUAGUUUAAUAGUAAAAGUAUGUACUAAAAAAAUUGUACAUAACUACAUGCAUAAUAAACUACAAGUAUGCACUGAUAAAGAUCACUAAGAUCCUAAAUAUCUUUCUCAGUCAACCCCAUUAUAAAUCAAAACCAAGGUAAUUACAUGAUUCAUGCAUAUAAAUGUGGCAACUAUUAUUGCCAUUGUGACAUGUACAGAUGUCAAGUAACAUAAAUAUAGAAGAAAUCCUCAAUGAUUAUGUUCCUUUUAUGUAAUCUAUAUGUAUUCUCGUAUAAAUUGGGCAUUUGAGCUUUGAAUAAGAAUGAAAUUUCUAUUUUGUAUAUUGUCUAUAAAAAGUUUUCAUGCACAAAGUAAGGCCGUUGAUCGCUUCGUCAACUCAAGUGUACUUAUUUCGACUAUAGUAAUUAUUUGGUUGCGAUGGGAACUUGGGUUGUUGGUCCAUGCUGAUAUUUUUUUGUAUCCCACCGAGGAGUUUCCAAGUAUUGCAACGGCAAUGUGGCACGCACGCCAAUCACACAAACAAGCGCGCCUAUAGUCUUUUUCUAGUGCGGGGCCUCACUUUUUUCAUGCAGUUACGCUUUUAAACACAAAGUUUAAUAGAGUCAAAGUGUAACGUUAUUAAAUCACACAACUUUAUAGCACAUUCAAAAAUAACUUUAUUAAAUUGCAAAACUUAACAGCAUGUCUCCAUGUGGGGAUGGUAGAAUAACCCCGACCCAGAUGAACUCGGAAAAUCCAGGUCAGGGUCAACUUGUAUCGUAGCAAAAUAUAUCCAGUAUUUGGAAGUCAUUUUUGAACCCAGUCGAAUCCGAGUCUGGGUUCGGUUUUAGGUAAAUUCGGAUAUCAACAACCCAUAUCCGAAUUAUUUUAUUCUAAUAUUUAAUUAAUUAUUUUUAAAAAUUAUUUUAAUUAAUUGUUUUUAAUUAUUAUUUAUGAGCAUAAAAGCAAAAAUGAGAAAAAUAAAACAAACCCUACAUCUCAGAGCCACCGUUUCUAGUCCUAUUCAUUCCCCAAAAUUCAACAAACAAAUUCAACAUCAUCAUCGUCGCUUGAUUGAUCAUCACCCAUCAAUCAUUAGAACCACAACAUCAUGGCCGUGGCCACACUUCUCUGCAAGUUUCAAGAAUGGACUUGAGACCAAGGUGGAGAAGUCAAGGAAGCAAUUGAAGGAAAAGAAGAACAUGGCUAAGGGUGUGUUUGGGAUUGAGGUGCUGUAGCUUUUAACCUACAGCUGCUGUGAAAAAAAAAGCUGUAAUUAUGAAACAAAAGUUAAUAAUAUAUAGUAAAUAUAAAUUUUAAAUAAUAAUUUUGAUAAAAAUAUUAAAGAUAUAAUAAAUUUUAUAUUAUACAAGUGAAAAAUCAUAUCAACAUAGCUUAAAAGCUAUAGCAGCUAGUGUUUACCAAACACUUUAGUGCUGUAGCUUUUAAGCUACAGCUGCCCAACCUCAAUCCCAAACGCACUCUAAGAAGAUCGGCAGCGUAAAGAAGACCAAGGCCUUAGAAGCUACCAAGAAGAAGUGAGCAAUUCAUUCUUUUGUGGUCCCGAAGCCAACUUUCGGUGAUGGAGUUCUAUGAUAGUCUUUGUUGGUAUAGUUUCUAAAAUGAAAUAUAUUGUGUUGUGGAUUUUGGUGUUAUUUGGUGUUUAUGUAGUUAUAUUUCCAUAUUUUGAGUACUAAAAAAGAAAAAAAAUGGUUUAUACUAAGAUUUUAGUUGUCGAAAUCAAUGGAUUUUAUUUCCAGUUUAUGCGAUUCCCCAUCUUCCUCAUCUAUUUCAAGAGAUCCAUGACUUUGUUCUAUCUCCUUCUGCAACUGCCAAACAGCCCCAAAAGCGGCAUGCUUGAUUUAUUUUAUUUUAUUUCAGGCAUUCAGUACAUCUAUCCUCGUUUGGAACCUGAAUCCAGAAAGCUAGAUUUUUCUAGGUUGACCCCGUACCGAAUCCGGAGCCUAAAAAUCGGGGUUUAUAUUCAAAUUUGGUAUGCUAAAUUAUCAUUCGGGUCCGGACCCGAAAAGCCUAAAUUCGGAUCCGGAGGAUUUUGCCAUCCCUAUCUGCAUGGAAAAAAAAAAAAAAAAAAAAAGGAGAGCGUAUGCACUUGAGAAUGAUUAUAUACACACAUAUAUAUGUGUAUACAUACAUACAUAUAGUAUUUUCCUAAUGUGAGCGCCCUUUUCUUUUUUUUGUCUAACACAUUAUUAAACCAUGCAAUUUAAUAUAGUUAUUUUAAUUAACUAUUGAAUUACAUGGUUUAAUAGCAUAUCCACGAAAUAGAUGCCUGUCUAUUAUAUCAUUAAUAAUCAAAGAAAUUUUUUUUAUAUGGAAUCAUAUGAAGUGAUUAUUAAGGUUGACAGUGAGAUUCAUUCUUCUAAAUUAUUGCUUGACGCGUCACAUUAAGGGAUAUGACUAUGUAGAUGAGUCUGAAAGCUUUGAUGAGACCGAAAAGUUUUAGCUUUGAAAUUUGUAGAGGAUGUUAGUGCUAACACAUAUAAGAGAUCGAAUGCUUUCGCACUCCCACUAUACCUUAGUGUAUGCCGCCUCUUUAGCAACAGAAGUUGAAUGUCAACUUUGGGAAGAACUUGAAAAGCAUUUGGAUAAGCUUGCGAAGAAAUUCAUUGACAAUGCAACUAGAGAAUUGCAAGAGAACAUGGCCAGAAAUGUCUCUAAGAAGGUAAUUGGACAUGUCCAUGACAACAUGAGAUUUCAAAUGUCGAUGAGGAAGUAAUUAGAGACGUCUGAAAUUGCAAAGGAAGGGGUAAAAUCUAAUCUUGAUUUGAGCAUUGAUUUUAACAGUAUAGUUGUUACGGUUCUAUCAAUCUCUAUAUUGACGCAAGAGAACUGUUCUAGAAGAAGACCUGACGGUAAAUAUUAAGUGAGGUGACAAGUGACAACAUUGAGCAAGAUUUAGAGAAAGACUCAAGAGGCUUGCAAGUGAUUCUUGAGUCCAAUACGACCUUAUUGCAUUUUGUCAGUUUGUUAAACGACUCAAGAUUCUCUCCUUGCCCAUCGCUUUAGAUAAUUCAGACGUUGAUUAUUGGCGAUGAUGUCCUUAAUAAAAUGCUUUUCAUCAAAUUUCAUCUUUUGAUCAAGAACAUACAAACAGCUACAGUUAGACUUUGUUUAUUUAUUUAAUUUGGUCUCUAACUAGUUAUUCAUUCUCCUUUCUAUUUUUAUUUGAAUAAUUGAUUUAAUAUUGCAGCAUAUUUUUGGUUUAGAGCAUAGAAAUAAAAAGGCAUCUCGAUGCAAAAUGAUAUAAAUUAAUUAAUUACCAUAUAGGUUUGUUAUUAGUUGUAGGGGUAGAGCUCAAAUUAAAUCUCGAGGGAGCUAAAUUCAAACAAGUAUUCACAGGGGGUCGAUUUUAGAUGGUUUUUUCAUCUAUAGCUAUGGUGUAAUCCUGAAAAUUUAGAAAUUUUGCUCGUAACUGUAGUAAUUUUAAUUUGGAGAUUUUUAUUAAUAAUUGAGGCUAUUGUUACAAAUAAAGAAUAAAAUAAAAAAGUAAUUAACAAAAUAAAGAUCAAAGAGAUAGAUCUUAACUUCAUCAAAAUUUUUAAAGGCUCUUUGUUAUUUUAAUAGGAUGAAAAAGGAAAUACCAAAAUAAAGAUCAAACCCUUUCAAAAAUAAAUAAAUAAAUAAGUAAAUAGAUAAAUAUCAAACAAUUAGGCAACUUUGACUUUAUUUCACAAAAUAUAAAGUUACAUUUUCAUCCUAUAUAUAAAGUUUACAAAUUAAUUGUGUAGGGGCCAAAUCAGUAUUUUUUUAUAUUUCCUUAGAAAUUUCAAAUUUUUUUUAAAGCUUGCAAGUGCCUUGGCCACUGCUAGUCUUAAGCACCUUCCACUCCUAAUCAGAUGGAAAUUAUAAAUUAAUUUUCUUCAAACACUUAUAUUAUUUUGCAAUGCCAAUUAAUUAAGGUAAACCUAAGUUUGAUUAAAAUAAAGAUAUAUAUUUCAAAAUAAAGAUCAAACCCUUUCAAAAAUAAAUAAUUAAUAGAUAAAUAUCAAACAAUUAGGCAACUUCAACUUUAUUUCACAAAAUAUAAGUUACAUUUUAAUCUUAUAUAUAAAGUUUACAAAUUAAUUGUUUAGGGGCCAAAUCAGUAUUUUUUGAUAUUUUCUUUAGAAAUUUCAAAAAAAAUUUAAAACUUGUAGGUGCCUUGGCCACUGCUAGUCUUAAGCACCCUCUGCUCCUAAUCAGAUGGAAAUUAUAAAUUAAUUUUCUUCAGACACUUUAUUAUUUUGCAAUGCCAAUUAAUUAAGGUAAACCUAAGUUUGAUUAAUUCAUGAGAGCUAGCUAGCUUAUAGUUAAAAUAUAUAUAUAUAUACUAACUAUUAAUUAAAUAUUGUAGCAAUUGUCUUUUACAAAUAUGCAAAUCAGUUUAAUCUUAAAUUUUAUUGAAAUGUGAAAGUGAAUUCACGCAGCCCUUCAUACCGAAAACGGAGUACCAAAAAUAAAAAUAGAGACAAAAGUUAAACUAAAACACGGCCGCACACUAAAGUCAAAUUAACUUGAAAACAUACGUAAAGAAAUCUAAACAUCGCACACAGCUUAUAUAUUCUUCAUCUUCAAGAUAGCUAGGAUGGACGACUGCAGUCUUCUUCUGUGAAAAUAUUUGAAGUGCGCAAGCCUCACAUAAUUGAACAACCGGCAACAAUUCCUGCAAUGGGAAGUGCAGCUUCGAAAACUUUUAAUGCCGUUUGCCAUAGACCCUAGAAAUCAAUAAAUAAUUUUAACAUGAAGAAAUUCACUAUCAGACUUUAGAUAGAUCAACAAGAAAUUCACUGCCAGAAUAUAUAAAAAUCAACACGGCUCCUCAGCACUAUAUCCAAAUUUAUAAAAAUGUUAUGCACCAAAUUAAAUAAUCGAGUGAUUAUUUAAAAUUAAUUAAUCAAAGUUUGGUCAAACUCACCCUUCCCUCCGCUGGGAUAUUUUGAUUGUAAGGAACAAUUGCACGCUUUGAAGAACAACCGUGCCGACGCCGGGAAGUUCCGUGCCUUCUGGAAUUUCUGGAGCUUCUGGAACAACUUCUGGAAUUUCUGGAGCUUCUGGAACAACUUCUGGAACUUCUGGAGCUUCUGGAACAACUUCUGGAGCUUCUGGAACUUCUGGAACAACUUCUGGAGCUUCUGGAACUUCUGGAACUUGGCUGCAAUCCAUUGCAGAGUCAAUACAAGUUUUAUAUAUAGGCAAUUAAUUUCAAAAAUCUUUAAUUAGUAUAUAGGUAAAUGCUCUUUCAGAGCAUUAUAUUUUAAAUUAAGUGUCAACCCCGUCGUCUUGGGCCUAGAGGGUCUCUUUUCGCCUUUGGCUUCAACUACUUUUGUUUCCAACAGAUAGCAUCCAUUAUACAAAAUAAAAAGAAAAAAAAUUUCAUUCAAUCCUAUAUUUUAAAAAAUACCAAAAGACACUCUUAUUAUUAAAUAUAUAACAUUUUUUUUUCAUUUUUUUUUACUUUUCUAAUAAUACUCUUACAACAAUCUAAAAACAUUAAUUAAUUUAUCUAUAAAAAAAUUAAUUAGCAAAUUACCAAUAAUUAUCUGUUUAAAGAAAUUGAUAUUUUUCAGACACUUGCAAUAAUCUUUCUAAUAAAUAUUUAUAAAUAAAUAAAUUAACAACUUAAAGCUACAUUUAAUAUCUUGUUAAUAAUUAUAAAAAAAAUUAUGUUACCUAAUUGAUCUUAAAAGUAAAAUAAUAAUAAAAAAAUUAUUUUAUUUUUAAUGUUAAUUUAAUAAAUUAAUUAUUUUUUUCUUUUUAUUAGCAUCACCAAGAAUAUUGUUGUGUGGAUGUUAUCAUAAAAACAACGAAAAAAAAUUAGGGUAUAAUAGUAAGAGUAUUUUAAGAUAUUUUUUAAAAUAUAUAUAGGGAAUAAAUAAAUAUUUAUUUCAAAAUAUAGAGACAAAACGAAUAUUUAUUCAUAAAAAUAUAAUAAUAAUAAUAAUAAAUACCUGAUGAUUGGGUAAAGGUUUCUUCCUCAAAGAUUCAAGCAGCGAAAAAUUAUCCAC
This 54147-nucleotide long non-coding RNA is filed under the name Citrus maxima (pomelo). RNAcentral describes it as "long non-coding RNA (CMAX_LNC003605)". The record is from RNAcentral. Lineage: Eukaryota; Viridiplantae; Streptophyta; Magnoliopsida; Sapindales; Rutaceae.